CGACUUAGAGGCAUAACUGCAUUGAAAGCAAUGUCGCAAGUUAGGCAGUCUUCACAACAUCCCAUGUAAUAUAAAUAAUAAAAGGGGAAGGAACAUAGUUGGAUUACACUCGCCAAGUCAAACAAAGUACAUAAAUAGCAUUACAUCAUCCAAUCACUCAAGGCCCGUCUACGGUGCCAAAAUAAAAGAUCAACCCAACAUGCGACACAGUCCCGAUCGCCCCAACUGGGCACCACUACUGAUCAUCAGGGAAAGACACAUAGUAACGGCGUGAGUCCUCGUCGAACUCCCACUUGAGCUCAAGCGCGUCAUCUGGAACGGAGUCGUCUGGCCCUGCAUCUGGUUUGGAAGUAAUCUGUGAGUCACAGGGACUCAGCAAUCUCGCACCCUUGCGAUCAAGACUAUUUAAGCUUAUAGGUAAGGCAAGGUAAUAUGUGGAGCUGCAGCAAGCGACUAGCAUAUAUGGUGGCUAACCUGUUCGCAAAAGAGAGCGAGAAGAGAAGGCAAUGCACGAUCGAAUAACUAGAGAACAACCUGCGGCAAGCAUUACUCCAACACCAUGUUCACUUCCCGGACUCCGCCGAGAAGAGACCAUCACGGUAACUCACACAGUUGAUUCAUUUUAAUUAAGUUAAGGUUCAAGUUAUCUAUAACCAGACAUUAACAAAUUCCCAUCUGCCCAUAACCGCGGGCACGACUUUCGAAAGUUCAAAUCCCUGCAGGGGAGUCCCAACUUAGCCCAUGACAAGCUCUCACGGUCAACGAAGGAUAUACCUUCUCCCGAGACAUUCCGAUCAGACUCGGUAUCUCGGUUCUACAAAACACUUCGACAAGUUAAAACAAAUCCAGCAACACCGCCCGAAUGUGCCGACAAAUCCCGAUAGGAGCUACACAUAUCUCGUUCUCAGGGCACACUCGGAUAAGCAAUCCGUACAACUAAAACCAGCCCUCGAGUUUCCCCGAGGUGGCGCUGCAAGGGGCUCUAGGUUGGACCAACACUCAGAGGAGCACUGGCCCGGGGGUUUAAAUAACAUGACCCUUGGGCUCCAGAAACCCAAGGGAAAAAGAGGCUAGGUGGCAAAUGGUAAAACCAAGGUUGGGCAUUGCUGGAAAAGCUUUAUUCAAGGCGAACUGUCAAGGGGUUCCCAUUAUCACCCAACCGCGUAAGGAACGCAAAAUCCAGGAACAUAACACCGAUAUGACGGAAACUAGGGCGGCAAGAGUGGAACAAAACACUAGGCGAGAGGCCGAGCCUUCGACCCUUUACCAAGUAUAUAGAUGCAUUAAGAUAGCAAGAUAAUAUAAUGAUAUCCCAACAAGAAAAUAAUGUUCCAACAAGGAACGGUCUCCAAUCUUCACCUGCAACUAGCAACGCUAUAAAAGGGGCUGAGCAAAGGAGUAACAUAGCCAAUCAACGGUUUGCUAGGACAUGAUGGGUUAGAGGUUUGACAAGGCAAUUUGGGAGGCAUGAUAAGCAAGUGGUAGGCAUUGUAGCAUAGGCAUAGCAAAAGAGCGAGCAUCUAGCAAAGCAAAGAUAGAAGUGAUUUCGAGGGUAUGAUCAUCUUGCCUGCAAAGUUGUCAGACUUGACUGGAUCCUCGAAAGCAAACUCAACGGGCUCCUCAUUAGCGAACUCGUCUCCCGGUUCUACCCAAACAAGACAAACAAGCAAAAGGACACAAUCAACCACGUGCAAAGCUCAAACAACAUGAUGCAAACAUGGUAUGCUAUGCGGGAUGCGAUAUGUGAUGCAUAUGCAAGAUUUGACAAGGAAUGAAUGAACCUGGCCUCAACAUGGAAAUCCAAGUGUGCCACUGGAAAGGUGAGAUGAUUUCGCUUGAAAACAAUAUAAAGAACGCCGGAAUCGGAGACACGGUUUGGAAAUGGCAAGCAAUUCAAAUGUGGCACCGGUCUGCAAUAUACAGCAAGUAGCCAUCUAAAUGCAACAAGCUAAACAUGCUACAGCACCCAAACAUGGCAACAAAAUACAUGGCAGGGAUCCAUUCAUGAAGCUUAACAAAAGAUGAACACUGAGCUACGGCCAAUUCAUCCAUUAACAGGUUCAAACAAGCAUGGCAAAAGUGCAAUUGGUAAACAGAUUUCAGACUUUGUGAAAUUAACACUUGUCUGGAAUUUCAGAUCAGGUAGCACACUUUGGAGCAUGAAAACUAUAUGCUAUAGGAACUUAACAUGGCAAAGUAAAGCAUGCAAUGGAGCUACUCAAAGAGCUUAACAAAAGUCCCUUAGUGACCUUGAGCCAAAAGGGAUCAGAAAAUACAAUUGCAAGCAUGUGAACAUGGCAAAAACUUAAAUAGAUCACAGACUUGUGAAAAACUAGAGCAUGCAAAUCAGAUUUCAAGUAGGCAUGUUUACGAGCUCGAUGCACUCACUACAGAGCAUGUCAUGACAAUCUAAGAAUACACCCAUCAAGAAAUACACAUUAUACAAGCUAGACAUGGCAAGAACAACAACAUAGCAUGCACGGAUCAACUACGACCUCCUUGGCAAAAUCGCUAACAAGUAGACAAUCUGCCCAGAUUCACGAAAUAGCAAAAGUAGAGCUCGAUUGACUCAAGCUAGGGUGCUCCAUAAUUUCAAACAAAGACAUGGAUGGAUAUAACACUACAAGAUUAACAAAUAACCCUUAUUAAUCAUCCUCAAAAGAGGCACGGAUCACUAGUAAACAACAUGAACAUAUGGCAUAUUGAUAAAAACAAAUCAAGGACUUAGUGGAAUUGCUAAGUCCCUGAAAUCAGCAUUAACGAAUGCUCCACUUGGCAAGCUUGUGCUAGUCACCACACACAUCACAAAAAUACACGGAUAGCACCUCUGGAAAGAUGGCAAAGCAUAUAACAAAACUCAUGUAGAGAUCACGGGCAUAUCAUGCACACAAUAAUCAUGACAAAAAUGACAAAUAGCUAUUUGGUGCAGCAGAUCUGACAAUUAACUCAAAUAGUACUCUUCCAACAACAUUUCGGGCAUCAAGAUGAACUCAAAUGAAAAUGAUGCAAUGCGAUGAAAUGAUGUUCUCUCUGAGACGAACAUUUUGAUAUGCUACACGCCAAAAUGGACCUACGGAUGCAAAGUUACAGCGUGAUGAACAAGGGCAUUUGAAUCUGGAAAACGGGGACUUGGAGAAAAAUCAUCACCUCGCGGAUCUAGGGUUGACCGCGACACAGACUUCGAAGCAGCGGCAGAUCUCGCCGUAUCCGCGCCGGAGAAGGCAUGGACGGCGGCGGGAGCUCCGGCNNNNNNNNNNNNNNNNNNNNNNNNNNNNNNNNNNNNNNNNNNNNNNNNNNNNNNNNNNNNNNNNNNNNNNNNNNNNNNNNNNNNNNNNNNNNNNNNNNNNNNNNNNNNNNNNNNNNNNNNNNNNNNNNNNNNNNNNNNNNNNNNNNNNNNNNNNNNNNNNNNNNNNNNNNNNNNNNNNNNNNNNNNNNNNNNNNNNNNNNNNNNNNNNNNNNNNNNNNNNNNNNNNNNNNNNNNNNNNNNNNNNNNNNNNNNNNNNNNNNNNNNNNNNNNNNNNNNNNNNNNNNNNNNNNNNNNNNNNNNNNNNNNNNNNNNNNNNNNNNNNNNNNNNNNNNNNNNNNNNNNNNNNNNNNNNNNNNNNNNNNNNNNNNNNNNNNNNNNNNNNNNNNNNNNNNNNNNNNNNNNNNNNNNNNNNNNNNNNNNNNNNNNNNNNNNNNNNNNNNNNNNNNNNNNNNNNNNNNNNNNNNNNNNNNNNNNNNNNNNNNNNNNNNNNNNNNNNNNNNNNNNNNNNNNNNNNNNNNNNNNNNNNNNNNGGGCGCCGCGGGCGCCACGUGGCGGCUCGCGAUUCGCUACGGCCGAUGGCGGACGUGUCGGCGGCCGGCGGACGUGUCCGGCCGUGCGGAGAGGGGUGGAUCUAUGGUUUCGGAAAGAGGAGAACGAAAAUUUUGGAGGGGUCUUUAAAUAGGCAUAGGAGGAGCUAGGAGAGUCCAAAUGUGGUGCGGUUUUCGGCCACACGAUCGUGAUCGAACGCUCUAGAUGAUGGAGAAGGUUUUGGUGGGUUUUGGGCCAAAUUGGAAGGGUGUUGGGCUGCAACACACACGAGGCCUUUUCGGUCCCUCGGUUAACCGUUGGAGCAUCAAACGAAGUCCAAAUGGUACGAAACUUGACAGGCGGUCUACCGGUAGUAAACCAAGGCCUCUUGGCAAGUCUCGGUCCAAUCCGGAAAUGUUUAACCCCCACAUACGAAAGAAAGGUAGAAAUGACCACCGGAGGAGAACGGAGCGCCGGAAUGCAAAACGGACAACGGGGAAAAUGCUCGGAUGCAUGAGGCGAACACGUAUGCAAAUGCAAUGCACAUGAUGACAUGAUAUGAGAUGCAUGACAACGACAACAACACGCGGAGACAAAAACCCGAACCCGAGAAAAUAAAAUAACUUAACGCCAGAAAUGGCAAGAGUUGGAUUACAUAUUAGGUAAAUCAUAUCCGGGGUGUUACAACACUCCACCACUAAGAAAGGAUCUCGUCCUGAGAUCUAUGACUGGAAGAACGCUGGGUACUCAGAACGGAGGUGAUCCUCGCGUUCCCAGGUGGCUUCACGGUCGGAAUGGUGUGACCACUUGACUUUGAGGAAUUUGAUUGACUUAUUGCGAGUCUUGCGUUCAGUCUCUUCAAGAAUAGCAAUGGGGUGCUCACGAUAAGAGAGAUCUUCUUGGAGAUCAAUGUCUUCGAAGUUGACGGUGCGGUCAGGAGUCUUGAAGCACUUGCGGAGCUGAGAGACAUGGAACACGUCAUGCACAUUUGCGAAGUUUGAAGGAAGCUCGAGUUAAUAGGCGAGAUCGCCUCUCUUGCUGACGAUCUUGAAAGGUCCCACGUAUCUAGGGGCAAGCUUCCCUUUGAUACCGAAGCGACGAGUACCUUUCAUUGGAGAGACGCGGAGGUAAACAUGAUCUCCGAUCUCGAGGGCCAAAUCACGAUGCUUACUAUCAUAGUAGCUCUUCUGGUGCGAUUGCGCUGCUUUGAGGUUAUCUCGAAUGAGUUUGCACAUUUCCUCUGCCUCUGUGAUUAAGUCAUUACCCAAAAGUUGACGUUCACCGGUUUCAGAUCAGUUGAGAGGGGUACGACACUUCCUGCCAUAGAGAAUUUCGAAUGGGGCCUUGCCCAAACUUGCUUGAAAACUGUUGUUGUAGGAGAAUUCAGCAUAUGGAAGGCAAUCCUCCCACUUCAUGCCGAAGGAGAUCACACAAGCCCUGAGCAUAUCUUCAAGAAUCUGGUUGACACGCUCGACUUGACCGCUAGUUUGAGGAUGGAAAGUUGUGCUGAAGUGGAUGUUGGUUCCCAUGGCCUUCUGAAAAGAAUCCCAAAACUUGGAGGUAAAGAUGCUGCCACGGUCUGAAGAGAUCACCUGUGGAAUACCGUGCAGAGAGACAAUCCGAGAGGUAUAGAGCUCCGCCAAUUGAGCUGCAGUGAUAGACUCUUUGAUAGGCAGAAAGUGAGCCACUUUAGUGAGUUUGUCGAUGACAAUGAAUAUAGCAUCAUUGCCACGCUUGGACUUUGGAAACCCAGUUACGAAGUCCAUCUCAAUGUGGUCAAACUUCCAUUCUGGAAUGGCAAGAGGUUGGAGGAGACCAGCUGGCCUUUGGUGUUCUGCCUUCACUCUUCUGCAGACAUCACACUCAUUCACGAACUGAGCAAUCUCGCGCUUCAUUCGAGUCCACCAAUAAGCAUGCUUGAGGUCCUGAUACAUCUUCGUGCUCCCAGGGUGGAUGGAGAGGAGAGAAUUGUGAGCCUCGUUCAUGAUCACUUUACGAAGGUCACCUUUGGGCACAACAACAUGAUCCUCGAAGAAGAGAGUAUCCUUGUCAUCAAGGCGGCAGCACUUGUACUUGGGUCGUCUCUUGGCAAUCCCAAUCUUCACCUUCUUCACCAUAGCAUCAAGAAGCUGAGCUUGGCAAAUCUGGUAUUCCAAGGUAGGAGAGACUUGAAGGUUGGCGAGGAAACCUUGAGGAACAACUUGCAGAUUGAGUUUGCGGAAAGCUUCAGAAAGUUCGGGUUGAUAAGGCUUGAGAAUCAGAUUGUUGCAAUAAGCCUUCCUUCUCAAUGCGUCAGCAAUCACAUUGGCCUUGCCUGGAGUAUACUCGAUACUCGGAUUAUACUCUUGAAUCAUUGCGACCGAUCGAGUCUGCCUGAGGUUGAGAUUAGGCUGAGUGAAGAUGUACUUGAGACUCUUGUGGUCAGUGAAAAUGUCCACUUUUCUUCCCAAUAAGAGAUGUCUCCAAGUCAAAAGAGCAUGCACAACUGCCGCCAACUCGAGUUCAUGAGUGGGGUAGUUCUUCUCGUUGGGCUUCAACUGGCGAGAGGUAUAAGCCACAACUUUCUUUUCCUGCAUCAACACUGCACCAAGACCUUGGAGAGAGGCAUCGCAGAAGACCUCGAACGGUUUGGAUUCAUCAGGAGGAGUCAAAAAUGGAGCAGUGACCAAUUUCUCUUUCAAAGUGUUGAAAGCAAUGUCACACUCCGGAGACCAAACGUACUUGACGUGCUUCUGGAGAAGAUUUGAGAAAGGCUUCACGAUCUUUGAAAAGUUCUCAACGAACCUUCGACAAUAGCUUGCGAGACCGAGGAAGCUACGGAGUUGCUUCACGUUCUGAGGUGGUUCCCAAUUCACAAUUGCAGACACCUUCUCAGGAUUCACCGCAAUGCCCUUGGCAGAGAUGAUAUGCCCAAGAUAAAGAACCACAUCGAGCCAAAAUUCGCACUUUGAGAACUUGGCGUAGAACUGGUGUUCCCUGAGCUUAUCAAGCACCAAACGCAAGUGUUUGGCAUGAUCUUCCUUGUUCUUCGAAAAGACCAGAAUGUCGUCGAGAUAGACCAAAACAAAGUCAUUGAUGUAGGCGUUGAAGAUGAAGUUCAUCAUGCGAGAGAAAGUCGGAGGAGCAUUGACGAGGCCAAAAGACAUGACAGUGUAUUCAUAUGAACCAUAGCUUGUCCUGAAAGCCGUCUUGGGAAUAUCUUGUUCACGGAUUCGAAUCUGGUGAUAACCCAUACGGAGAUCAAGCUUGGAGAAUACUUGGGCACCCUUGAGUUGUUCGAACAGCUUGUUGAUGUUGGGAAGUGGGUUCUUGUUCUUGAUAGUCUUCUUGUUCAAUGGACGGUAGUCAACACAAAGUCGGUCCAUUCCAUCCUUCUUCUUCACAAAAAGAACUCCACAACCCCACAGAGAGGAACUAGGUCGGAUGAGACCCAUUCUCUCUUGAAUAUCGAGUUGCUUCUUUAGCUCCUUCAACUCUUCAGGUCCGAGCUUGUAAGGACGCUUGCAAACCGGUUCCAUGCCAGACUCAAGAUCGAUGACGAAUUCAACUGGCCGGUGCGGAGGCAUUCCUGGAAGCUCUUCACGAAAGACGUCUUGAUAUUCGCAAACGACUGGAAUUUGCAAGAUGGCAUCCAGUUCACCCUUCUCAUUGAGAGAAAACAGAAGGAUUGUAUCAUCACGAGCGGCAAAGACAAUUACAUCCUCAGACGAAUGAGUCAAUUGAAUCUGCCUGGCUGCACAAUCAAGCUGAGCCUUGUGCUUAGAAAGCCAAUCCAUUCCGAGAAUAAGAUCAAUAUCCGAGUCACCAAGAACAUUUGGAGAAGACAAGAACUUAUAGUCACCCAAAGUGAUUGUAACAUCCGGAACGCAUACUCGAGAUGUCAUUUAAUGGGCCAACGAGACAAUAGCCAACGGUUUCGGCAACACUUGAGUAACAAAAUCAUGCUUAGAUGCAAAAGGUCUCGAGAUGAAACAAUGCGAUGCACCAGUGUCAAAAAGAACUCUUGCAGGAAUAUCGUUAACAGGAAGGUUACCCAUGAUGACAUCUGACGAGUCCUCUGCCUGAGCUGCAUUCACCAUGUUGACCUUGGCGUACUUGGGGUUAUGCUUGACCACAGCUGUACUGGCCGAUCUCACAGGAGGAGGAGGAGGAAGGCGCCUCUGAUUGAAGCAUUUGUUGGCAUAGUGACCCUUCUGUUGGCACUUGUUGCACGUGACCUCUAAAAGCGGACGGUGAUACGGAGCACUCGAUCUUGGAGCUUGAGACGAAGUCUUGUUCUGAAAGCCAGGGUUGGGUGGGUGGGAAGAUCCACUGCCACCUUUGCUCUUCUGAUACGACUGACAGAACGGAGGAGGAGGAAGCCAAUACUUCUGCUGCUUGGCCACUUGAGUAGAGGAAGAAGGAGUAGCAUCUCUGACUCGCUUCUUGGAAGCAUCACACCUCAGUUGAGCAGCCUCUUGCUUCAAUGCCAUGUUGUAGAACUCAUCAUACCUCAAGGGCUCAAAGAGAACAAGAGCUAGCUGGAUUUCUUCUCUGAGACCACCCCUAAACUGGCAUAUCAUGCUCUUCUCGUCAGGGACGUCCUGCUUAGCAAAGCGGGCGAGCUUCUGAAACAACUUGUUGUAGUCAUAGACAGACAAAGAGCCUUGCUUCAGGUUGCAGAAUUCCUCAUGCUUGCUUUCAACCACGCUCUGAGGAAUAUGAUGAGCUUUGAAGUCUUGACGGAAUUCAUCCCAGGUAAUCACAUGGCCUCCUCUGGAAUCUUUGUACUGCGGGAACCAUUCUGCAGCUUGGUCUUUGAGUUGGAAGGAAGCGAACUUGACAAAGUCCUCAGGCCUGACAUUACUGCACUCGAAAUGCUUGCAUAAGUCCACGAGCCAAUCGUCAGCAUCAGUUGCCUCAACACAAUUGUUGUAGGUCUUUGGCCCGUUAGCAAGGAACUGGUUGAGUGUAGAAAAGUGAUUCUGAUUGUUGCCUUGGUUGCCUUGGUUUGCUUGGUUGCGCUCUUGAAGAAUUUGCAUGAUCAACUGCGUGUUUGCAUUGGUUGCGGCCAUCACAUCUUGCCAUGCCUCCGGAGGAGGGGGAGGUGGUGGCGGAUCCUGAUUCUGAUUCUGAUUGCUGCUCUUAGCGGGAGCCAUCCUGAAGAGGGUGACAUUCGUUAGCACAUUGACAGAUAAAAAUUUGAAGCUGAAUCAAGCGGGAUGAAAUUGCAACAUAUAGUCUUCACAUCCAAACAUAAGAACGAAUUCAUUCCACUUGAAAUGGUCACAUAUCCAUAAAUUGAGAAGCCACUUAGAAUUUAGGUAGAGGAAUAAAUCAACAAGGUACGAAACAAGAACGAAUACUCGGUAAGAAAUCCCAAUCUCAAACCAAAUAUUUGUUAAGAAGAGCUAGAGCUACAAGAAUUCCCACCUAUGAAACUCCCGAACCUUUCCGGUUAUGCAAUCAAGUGUUGGGGAUACAGGGGAAGCAUAAUAUCUCACCCAAAUCUAGCAUAUCCUACAUCCAGCUGUAUCCAUCCUUCAACACAUAACCGAGAAAAAACUUCGGAAACCAUCUACCUCAACCUUCGAAAAGCAUCCGUUAUACAAGUUAUGGCAAUACUCCCGAACUCCUGCCCCAGUACUGGGUGGCAUCAAGGUUAUCUCACCAACAACUGCAUAAAAGAGAUUUUCGAUGUCGGCGUACUAAACUCAGGUAUUCCAGAACUGCAACGAUAAAAUUGUGAUGACAACUCCUCGGAGCUCAACUCCCCGGGACACUGCCACAACACCUAAAUGAUAGGAGGCACCAAGAACAAUAUUCUCGUCACAAAACCAUCAGAACGAUUCCAAGAUACCCGCGUGAUCCUAAAAAAAAUUUAGUGAAAUUUGAGAAGAGAAGAGACAAAACUCUAUGUCGGGAUGCCUCACCAGAGCGAUGAAGGGACUGGGGAGUAAAAAGAAUUCCUAAACUCUCCGAUAUAUAAUACCUAAAUGACUCAAAACAUUUUUUUUCUAGACUCAAACUCGGCUGCUAAAAAUGAUCAAGUAGUGGGGGCUCCUAAGGUCGGGGAAGGCUCUGAUUAACAACUUGUAACACCCUCGAUGCGGCUAUAUCUCCUACGUGUCGAAGCAUGACUUAGAGGCAUAACCGCAUUGAAAGCAAUGUCGCAAGUUAGGCAAUCUUCACAACAUCCCAUGUAAUAUAAAUAAUAAAAGGGGAAGGAACAUAGUUGGCUUACACUCGCCACGUCAAACAAAGUACAUAAAUAGCAUUACAUCAUCCAAUCACUCAUGGCUCGUCUAUGGUGCCAAAAUAAAAGAUCAACCCAACAUGCGACACGGUCCCGAUCGCCCCAACUGGGCACCACUACUGAUCAUCAGGGAAAGACACAUAGUAACAGCGUGAGUCCUCGUCGAACUCCCACUUGAGCUCAAGCGCGUCAUAUGGAACGGAGUCGUCUGGCCCUGCAUCUGGUUUGGAAGUAAUCUGUGAGUCACAGGGACUCAGCAAUCUCGAGCCCUCACGAUCAAGACUAUUUAAGCUUACAGGUAAGGCAAGGUAAUAUGUGGAGCUACAGCAAGCGACUAGCAUAUAUGGUGGCUAACCUGUUCGCAAAAGAGAGCGAGAAGAGAAGGCAAUGCACGAUCGAAUAACUAGAGAACAACCUGCGGCAAGCAUUACUCCAACACCGUGUUCACUUCCCGGACUCCACCGAGAAGAGACCAUCACGGUAACUCACAUAGUUGAUUCAUUUUAAUUAAGUUAAGGUUCAAGUUAUCUACAACCGGACAUUAACAAAUUCCUAUCUGCCCAUAACCGUGGGCACGGCUUUCGAAAGUUCAAAUCCCUGCAGGGGAGUCCCAACUUAGCCCAUGACAAGUUCUCACGGUCAACAAAGGAUAUACCUUCUCCCGAGACAUUCCGAUCAGACUCGGUAUCCCGGUUCUACAAGACACUUUGACAAGUUAAAACAAAUCCAGCAACACCGCCCGAAUGUGCCGACAAAUCCCGAUAGGAGCUGCACAUAUCUCGUUCUCAGGGCACACUCGGAUAAGCAAUCCGUACAACUAAAACCAGCCCUCGAGUUUCCCCGAGGUGGCGCUGCAAGGGGCUCUAGGUUGGACCAACGCUCAGAGGAGCACUGGCCCGGGGGGGUUUAAAUAAGAUGACCCUUGGGCUCCGGAAACCCAAGGUAAAAAGAGGCUAGGUGGCAAUGGUAAAACCAAGGUUGGGUAUUGCUGGAAAAGCUUUAUUCAAGGCGAACUGUCAAGGGGUUCCCAUUAUCACCCAACCGCGUAAGGAACGCAAAAUCCGGGAACAUAACACCGAUAUGACGGAAACUAGGGUGGCAAGAGUGGAACAAAACAUUAGGCGAGAGGCCGAGCCUUCCACCCUUUACCAAGUAUAUAGAUGCAUUAAGAUAACAAGAUAAUAUAAUGAUAUCCCAACAAGAAAAUAAUGUUCCAACAAGGAACGGUCUCCAAUCUUCACCUGCAACUAGCAACGCUAUAAGAGGGGUUGAGCAAAGCAGUAACAUAGCCAAUCAACGGUUUGCUAGGACAUGGUGGGUUAGAGGUUUGACAAGGCAAUUUGGGAGGCACGAUAAGCAAGUGGUAGGCAUCGUAGCAUAGGCAUAGCAAAAGAGCGAGCAUCUAGCAAAGCAAAGAUAGAAGUGAUUUCGAGGGUAUGAUCAUCUUGCCUGCAAAGUUGUCAGAGUUGACUGGAUCCUCGAAAGCAAACUCAACGGGCUCCUCGUUAGCGAACUCGUCUCCCGGAUCUACCCAAACAAGACAAAUAAGCAAAAGGACACAAUCAACCACGUGCAAAGCUCAAACAACAUGAUGCAAACAUGGUAUGCUAUGCGGGAUGCGAUAUGUGAUGCAUAUACAAGAUUUGACAAGGAAUGAAUGAACCUGGCCUCAACAUGGAAAUCCAAGUGUGCCACUGGAAAGGUGAGAUGAUUUCUCUUGAAAACGAUAUAAAGAACGCCGGAAUCGGAGACACGGUUUGGAAAUGGCAAGCAAUUCAAAUAUGGCACCGAUCUGCGAUAUACGGCAAGUAGCCAUCUAAAUGCAACAAGCUAAACAUGCUACAGCACCCAAAUAUGGCAACAAAAUACAUGGCAGGGAUCCAUUCAUGAAGCUUAACAAAAGAUGAACACUGAGCUACGGCCAAUUCAUCCAUUAACAGGUUCAAACAAGCAUGGCAAAAGUGCAAUUGGUAAACAGAUUUCAGACUUGGUGAAAUUAACACUUGUCUGGAAUUUCAGAUCAGGUAGCACACUUUGGAGCAUGAAAACUAUAUGCUACAGGAACUUAACAUGGAAAAGUAAAGCAUGGCAUGGCAUGGAGCUACUCAAAGAGCUUAACAAAAGUCCCUUAGUGACCUUGAGCCAAAAGGGAUCAGAAAAUACAAUUGCAAGCAUGUGAACAUGGCAAAAACUUAAACAGAUCACAGACUUAGUGAAAAAUUGGAGCAUGCAAAUCAGAUUUCAAGUAGGCAUGUUUGCGAGCUCGAUGCACUCACUACAGAGCAUGUCAUGACAAUCUAAGCAUACACCCAUAAAGAAUACACAUUAUACAAGCUAGACAUGGAAAGAACAACAACAUAGCAUGCACGGAUCAACUACGACCUCCUCGGCAAAAUCGCUAACAAGUAGACAAUCUGCCCAGAUUCACGAAAUAGCAAAAGUAGAGCUCGAUUGACUCAAGCUAGGGUGCUCCAUAAUUGCAAACAAAGACAUGGAUGGAUAUAGCACUACAAGAUUAACAAAUCACCCUUACUGAUCAUCCUCAAUAGAGGCACGGAUCACUAGUAAACAACAUGAACAUAUGGCAUAUUGAUAAAAACAGAUCAAGGACUUAGUGGAAUUGCUAAGUCCCUGAAAUCAGCAUUAACGAAUGCUCCACUUGGCAAGCUUGUGCUAGUUACCACACACAUCACAGAAAUACAUGGAUAGCACCUCUGGAAAGAUGGCAAAGCAUAUAACAAAACUCAUGUAGAGCUCACGGGCAUAUCAUGCACACAAUAAUCAUGGCAAAAAUGACAAAUAUCUAUUUGGUGCAGCAGAUCUGACAAUUAACUCAAAUAGCACUCUUCCAACAUUAUUUCGGGCAUCAAGAUGAACUCAAAUGAAAAUGAUGCAAUGAGAUGAAAUGAUGUGCUCUCUGAGACGAACAUUUCGAUAUGCUACACGCCCAAAAUGGACCUACGGAUGCAAAGUUAUAGUGUGAUGAACAAGGGCAUUUGAAUCUGGAAAACGGGGACUUGGAGAAAAAUCAUCACCUCGCGGAUCUAGGGUUGACCAUGGCACGGACUUCGAAGCGGCGGCGGAUCUCGCCGGAUCCGCGCCGGAGAAGGCAGGGACGGUGGCGGGAGCUCCGGCCGGUGGAGGGGAUCGCCGGAGCGCGGCCGGGGCGGCGGAGUACGCGGACGGCGGGGCGGAGGGUGUGCGGCGGCGACCAGCGGCAGGCCGAGCGCGUAUGGCGGCGAGGAGGGUGGCGCCGGCGGGGAACCUGCCGUGGCGGAGCGUUGAGGGUCGCGGCGGCGUUGGGCGCCGGACUCAGGGAAGGAGGCGGCAGGGCAGACGGACGCGGGUGGCGGUGGCUUCGGGCCGCGGAGGGCCUGCUGCGGGCCGAACGGGCCGGCAGCGAUGUGGGCGCUGCGGGCGCCACAUGGCGGCUCGCGAUUUGCUGCGGCCGACGGCGGACGUGUCCGGCGGCCGGCGAACGUGUCCGGCCGCGCGGAGAGGGGUGGAUCUAGGGUUUCGGAAAGAGGAGAACGAAAAUUUCGGAGGGGGUCUUUAAAUAGGCAUAGGAGGAGCUAGGAGAGUCCAAAUGAGGUGCGGUUUUCGGCCAUGCGAUCGUGAUCGAACGCUCUAGAUGAUGGAGAAGGUUUUGGUGGGUUUUGUGACAAAUUGGAAGUGUGUUGGGCUGCAACACACACGAGGCCUUUUCGGUCCCUCGGUUAACCGUUGGAGCAUCAAACGAAGUCCAAAUGGUACGAAACUUGACAGGCGGUCUACCGGUAGUAAACCAAUGCCGCUUGGCAAGUCUCGGUCCAAUCCGGAAAUUUUUAACCCCCACAUACGAAAGAAAGGUAGAAAUGACCACCGAAGGAGAACGGAGCGCCGGAGUGCAAAACGGACAACAGGGAAAAUGCUCGGAUGCAUGAGACGAACACGUAUGCAAAUGCAAUGCACAUGAUGACAUGAUAUGAGAUGCAUGACAACGACAACAACACACGGAGACAAAAACCCGAACCCGAGAAAAUAAAAUAACUUAACGCCAGAAACGACAAUUGUUGGAUUAAAUAUUAGGUAAACCAUAUCCGGGUUGGAUUACAUAUUAGAAAAAGUCUCAUAUCUUGGCACAGGGCCUGGAUGCGGCAACAGGAUGAACCUCACCUCAGGUUCGCGGCCAAGAGCAUGUACACAUGCUACGAGAUGCAUAGGCAGAUCAUUGACAUGAGGAAGUGCCUCGUUACCCAAAUCGACGAGCCCGGAUCGACCCACAAGCAGAGCAAGCAUCGCAAGAAGUAGAUGAUGAUCAGAUGAUCGUUUAUGCUAGUUAAUCAUGCAUGUAAUAUAUAGUUUACUUUAUUGGUGUGUGGAAAUGUCAUGUGUGUAGUAGCCACCUAUGUACUUAUGCAUGUAAUAGUUUACUUUGGUGUGUGCAAAUGCCAUGGUUGUAGUAGCCACCUAUGUAAGUGGAUGUUUCAUUUGGUUAUGCAACCAUGUCCUUAUAAGUGUGUGUGUGCGUGUGUGUGUGUGUGUGUGUGUUGUUCUUAUGUAUGCAAUCCCAUCGCACAACACACACGUCUUACUAGCAGCAACCGUCUGUGUUAUUAUCGGUCUUUGCACACAUUUCUGAUUACAGUCCUAAUGGUCGCGUAUCACACUCAUCUUGUUAUAUUGAGCCAUUUCUGUUCUCUUAUCUCAACACAAACAGUUCAUCCGUGUGAACCGCAUGCCAUAUAUCUCACACACCUUGAUCUGGCUGGCCAUUUCUUUUGUGUUGCCUAAUCACAAACAGUUCAUCCGAGUGAACCGUAUGCUAACAUCAUACACACCUUCAUCUAGCUGCCCGUUUCUUUUGUUCCUCCUCAUCACAAACGGUUAAUUGAACUGAACUGUAUGCCCUACAUCGCACACGCAACUAAAAUCUGAACCGUGUUUGAUGCAUCAUCCAUCGCAAAUGUUUUGCACCUUUUUUGAUGGUUUUUUACACCACCAUUUGUGGUUAUUGCAUCGCACACAGGUUCGUCGAAGGGUCUCUGAUCGUGGUGUCGCAUUAGCAGCAUCCUGCGGUAGUGUCAUUUCCAUGCCAUUGUUGAACAUCUCUCAAAUACACUAGAUAAAAACAUUAGUCAGAUCCAUCUCCAUCGAAUCUACUUUUCCAAACACUUUUGCCCUUGUUUUGGACUCUAACUUGCAUUAUUUGAAUGGAACUAACCCGGACUGACGCUGUUUUUAGCAGAAUUGCCAUGGUGUUAUUUUUGUGUAGAAAUAAAAGUUCUCGGAAUGACCUGAAAAUCAACGGAGAAUUAUUUUGGAAUAUAUAAAAAUACUGGAAGAAGAAUCCACGUCAGGGGGGCCUCCACCUAUCCACGAGGGUGGGGGGUGUGCCUGCCCCCCUUGGCGCGCGCCCUGCCUCGUGGGCCCCCUGAUGCUCCACCGACCUGAACCUUGACUCCAUAUAUUCACUUUUGGGGAGAAAAAAAUCAAAGAGAAGGAUUCAUCAUGUUUUACAAUACGGAGCCGCCGCCAAGCCCUAAACUCUCUUGGGAGGGCUGAUCCGGAGUCCAUUCGGGGCUCCGGAGAGGGGAAUCCGUCGCCAUCGUCAUCAUCAACCCUCCUCCAUCACCAAUUUCAUGAUGCUCACCGUCGUGCGUGAGUAAUUCCAUCGUAGGCUUGCUGUACGGUGAUGGGUUGGAUGAGAUUUAUCAUGUAAUCGAGUUAGUUUUGUUAGGGUUUGAUCCCUAGUAUCCACUAUGGUCUGAGAUUGAUGUUGCUAUGACUUUGCUAUGCUUAAUGCUUGUCACUAGGGCCCGAUUGCCAUGAUUUCAGAUCUGAACCUAUUAUGUUUUCAUCAAUAUAUGGGAGUUCUUAAUCCUGUCUUGCAAGUCUAUAGUCACUAUUAUGUGAUAUGAUCCAUUAACCCCGAAGUGACAAUAAUCAGGAUACUUACCGGUGAUGACUGUAGUUUGAGGAGUUCAUGUAUUCACUAUGUGUUAAUGCUUUGGUCCAGUACUCUAUUAAAAGGAGGCCUUAAUAUCCCUUAGUUUCCAUUAGGACCUCGCUACCACGGGAGGGUAGGACAAAAGAUGUCAUGCAAGUUCUUUUUCGUAAGCACGUAUGACUAUAUUCGGAAUACAUGCCUACAUUACAUUGAUGAAUUGGAGCUAGUUCUGUAUCACCCUAUGUUAUAACGGUUGCAUGAAUAACCGCAUCCGGCAUAAUUCUCCAUCACCGAUCCAUUGCCCAUGAGCUUUUCCAUAUAUUAUUCUUCGCUUAUUUACUUUUCCACUGCUAGUGUUACAAUCACUAUAAAACCCAAAAAUAUUACUUUUGGUACCGUUACUUUUGCUAUCGUUACCACUACUAUCAUAUUACUUUGCUACUAAAUACCUUGCUGCAGAUAUUAAGUUUCUAGGUGUGGUUGAAUUAACAACUCAGCUGCUAAUACUUGAGAAUAUUCUUUGGUUCCCCUUGUGUCGAAUCAAUAAAUUUGGGUUGAAUACUCUACCCUCGAAAACUGUUGCGAUCCCCUAUACUUGUGGGUUAUCAAGAAUAUUUUCUGGCGCCGUUGCCGGGAAGCAUAGCUCUAUUCUUUGAGUCACUUGGGAUUUCUAUCUGUUUAUUACUAUGAAGAACUUGAAAGAUGAAAGAACCAAGAUUUUUGCCCUCAACUAUGAGGGGAGGUAAGGAACUGCCAUCUAGCUCUGCACUUGAUUCACCUUCUGUUUUGAGUAAACGUGCGACACCUAAACCUGCUUCUGCUAUUAAUUCUGAUAUGUCUCAUGUUAUUGAUGAUGCCACUUCUGCUAUGCCUGAUACUUAUGAUGGAACUACUUCUAUGCUUGAUACCACUGUGCCACUUGGUGAAUUUCUUGAUGAACAACUUGCUAGGGCUAGAGAGAAUGAAAUUAUUGAAACUGGUAAUAUUUGAUGAAAGUGAUGAUGAAGAUUCUCCCCCUAGAUAUGAAUUACCUGUUGUUCCUGAGGGUUAUGUUAUGGAUGAAGAAACUGCUAGAGACUUUCUUGCUUGCAAUGAUAUGAGUGGUCUUAAGAAACUAUUAGCUAAGAUGAAACAAAAAUCUCUGAAUGCUAAAAUGAAAUAUGAUCCUGCUUGUGCUACUUCACCUAUCUUUGUUGCUGAUAAGGAUUAUGAAUUCUCUUUUGACCCUGAUAUAAUUACUUUGGUUGAAUCUGAUCCUUUCUAUGGCUAUGAAUUAGAAACUGUUGUGGCACAUCUUACUAAAUUAAAUGAUAUAGCCACCCUGUUCACUAAUGAUGAGAAAACUCGCUACUACUAUAUCCUUAAAAUAUUUCCAUUCUCAUUAAAGGGUGAUGUUAAGAUAUGGUUUAAUUCUCUGGACUAACCGAUGCUUCUAGAGAUUACCUGGAUAGUUGUGCUGGUUGUGUUUUCAGGGAAAGAACUGUUGAUCAAGCUGAAAUUCUAUUGCAUAAUAUGUUGACUAAUGAAAAAAAUUGGACACUUCCUGAACCAACUCCUAAGCCAACUCCGAAGAAAAGGGGUAUUCUAUUUCUCAGUCCUGAAGAUAUGCAAGAGGCAAAGAAAUCUAUGAAAGAAAAAGGUAUUAAAGCUGAGGAUGUUAAGAAUUUACCUCCUGUUGAAGAAAUACAUGGUCUUAAUUUACCGCCUAUUGAAGAAACACAUGGUCUUGAUAACCCGACAUAGGUAGUAAAGGUAAAUUCUCUCUAUAGAUAUGAUAAAGCUGAAAUCCCUCCUACUAAGUUUGCUAGCCAAUGCUUAGAUGAGUUUGAUAAUUUUAUGGUUAAACAAGAAGACUUCAAUGCUUAUGUUGGUAGACAAUUGAAACAUAAUGCUUAUAUGAUUGAACACUUGAGUGAUUAUAUGGCUAGUGUUAAAGGAGAACUUAAAAUUAUUAGUAAACAUGCUUCUACGGUUACCACUCAAGUAGAACAAGUACUUAAAGCUCAGAAUGAUUUGCUCAAUGAAUUAAAUAGUAAGAAAAAUAAUAAUGUUGUUAGAGUUGUGACUAGAGGUGGUAAAAUGACUCAGGAACCUUUGUAUCCUGAAGGCCAUCCUAAGAGAAUUGAGCAAAAUUCUCAAAGAACUAAUGUAGAUGCACCUAGUCCUUCUAAGAGGAAGAAAAACAAAAAUGAGAGGACUUUGCAUGCUUCUAGUGAACCUGUUAUUGACACACCUGAGAAUCCCAAUGAUAUUUCUAUUUCUGAUGCUGAAACACAAUCUGGUAAUGAACAUGAACCUAGUGAUAAUGUUAAUGAUGACGUUCAUCUUCAUGCUCAACCUAGUAAUGACAAUGAUGUAGAGAUUGAACAUGUUGUUGAUCUUGAUAACCCACAAUCAAAGAAUCAACGUUAUGAUAAGAGAGACUUUGUUGCUAGGAAGCACGGUAAAGAAAGAGAACCAUGAGUUCAGAAACCCAUGCCUUUUCCUCCCAAGUCAUCCAAGAAAAAGGGUGAUAAGGAUUUUGAGCGCUUUGCUGAAAUGAUUAGACCUAUCUUUUUGCGUAUGCGUUUGACUGAUAUGCUUAAAAUGAAUCCUUAUGCUAAGUACAUGAAGGAUAUUGUUACUAAUAAAAGAAAGAUACUGGAAGCUGAAAUUUCCACCAUGCUUGCUAAUUAUACUUUUAAGGGUGGAAUACCAAAGAAACUAGGAGAUCCAGGAGUACCAACUAUACCAUGCUCCAUUAAAAGAACUAUGUUAAAACUGCUUUAUGUGAUCUUGGAGCCGGUGUUAGUGUUUUGCCGCUCUCUUUAUAUCAUAGACUUGAUCUGAAUAAGUUGACACCUAUUGAAAUAUCUUUCCAAAUGGCUGACAAAUCAACUACUAUACCUAUCGGUAUUUGUGAGGAUGUGCCUGUUGUGGUUGCAAACGUUACUAUUUUAACGGACUUUGUUAUUCUUGAUAUUCCCGAGGAUGAUAAUAUGUCUAUUAUUCUGGGAAGACCCUUUUUGAAUACUGCAGGGGCUGUUAUUGAUUGCAACAAAGGCAAUGUCACUUUUCAUGUUAAUGGCAAUGAGCAUACGGUACACUUUCCGAGGAAACAACCUCAAGUUCAUAGUAUAAACUCUAUUGGAAAAUUCCAUCGAUUAUUUUUGGAGGUUUUGAAUUUCCUCUACCUACUAUCAAGAAGAAAUAUGAUAUUCUUAUUAUUGGGGACGUGCAUAUCCCCGUUGAGGUAACCUAGUGUUAUUCGAAAAUUCUCCAGUUUCAUGUUAUUCGAAAUGAGUUUGCUAACAAGACUUGAUCAACCAUGUUAGUGGAUUCCUUUUGAUGAGCAUAGAUGGAUGAAUUUAGAAAACACAACUCUCUGUACCCUCUUUUUACUUUCUGUUAUUUAUAUUAAAUAAAGCAAAAAUAGUAUUUUCUGUCUGUUUCCUGAAUUAUCCAUGCAAUAAAAAUACCCCGAAAAUGAAAGUUCUCCAAAUGCCCUGAAAUUUAAAUAUGAUUUUUUCUGGAAUAUUUGAAGAUAUCUGGCACUGAGAACUCAUCAGGGGCAGCAAGCACUUAGCUACGAGGGUCCAGGGCGCGCCCCCUGCCUCGUGGGCCCAUGGUGGCUCCCCUCCACUUAUUCCAGCCACCACACACUCCUUCUUCCUCCCAAAAAAAUCACUAACUAGCUCAAGCACGAGUUCUAGCUCAUCUUGCUGCCAUUUUCGAUCUCCUUGCUCAAAGCUCCAUUCACAAAACUACUUUGGGGGAUUGUUCUUUGGUAUGUGACUCCUCCAAUGGUCCAAUUAGUUUUUGUUCUAGUGCUUUAUUUAUUGCAAAUUGUUGCUGCUUAGCUGACCCUAUUCUUGAGCUUGCAUAUCAAAUUUAUAUGGUAAAAAGUAGUUUUAAUGCAUGAUACAGUCUCUAGGCACUUGUGGGAGUAGUUGCUAUCAAUUUCGUUGAGUUUGGUUCACUUUUAUUUUGAAGUUACUAAAAAUUUCAGAAAUUUUUCAGAGGAGGAAAUAUGUUUAGGAAAAUGUACUGUGGUGGUUCUUCAAGGAAGCAAGGACCCAGGCCCGCAAUGCGUGAGCCGGACGAUGAACCACCGAGGGACGCUCAAGUGCGGCCUUGUGAAUGGCCGUCAGAGGACUUCAUGGUUCCAGUAGGAAUCAAGGAGGAAUUUGACGCAUAUGUGUGUAAUGCUGAUCUGGAGAGCUUCGAGGCAGAUAAGUGUCGUCAAUACCUCUAUUUAACUGAUUCAUUUGUGAGAAGGUUUAAAUUUUCAUCAUCACGCAAUUCUCAGACUGUCCUGUUUGAUCUUUAUGAAAAUUCUUAUACUAUGGACUUAGAAGAUUUUAACACUGCUUGUAAACUUCCACAAUGGGGUAGCCAUAGUGAGCCUCGCAAAUCGGAGUUUAGAGAUUUUCUUGCUAGUGUAACUGUGGGGGAGUCUAGAGAUAUAACACAAGCUACCAUAGGGAGCAUUCAUUUUCCUGCUAUACAUUAUUUUGCUCUCUUCAUAGGUAGGUGCAUCAAUGGUAAGGAUGAAGCAUGUCACAUGUGUGUCCCUGAUCUCAGUGUUCUCGGGAGUGCUGUAUUAGGAGAUAAACAUUAUAAUUUGGGAGCCAUUGUUGCUCGUAGGUUGCAUAAUAAUCGUAUUCAUGGAGAUUUCUUUGGUGGAAUUUAUGCAACUCAUAUAGCUAACUUUCUUGAGAUACCCAUACAUGGAGAUAAUAUUGAGUUGCCUCCUUCUUAUUUAGAUUAUGAGGCUAUGGUUCGUCAUCAGUUUGUUGAGAGGAACGAUCAGUUCCUCCAGUACCGACUAAUCUUUGACAGACGACGCACCUAUCACAUCGCCCUCCCUGCUCCUACUUUCUUUGACUUUCAGGCAAAGAGGCAAUAUUUUAUAACCAGGAGGAGGUGACCGAGUACGAGAGGAGGGCGGAGACAGCUCGCCUCCAAGCUGCAGCUCAUCAGGCAAUUGCCGCUGCAUCUCAGUACGACCCCAACUACAACUUUGGAUAUCCUCCAGGCCAGCCAUGGCCAUAGACCAACUUAGGCCAAAAGCCUAAGCUUGGGGGAGUACAUAUUUCUGACCGACAUUACAUUUAUGUUCACACACUCAUGCUAAUUGUCGGUGCUCAUACUUUUUCACUGUAUCAUCCAUGCUAGUUUAUUUUUCCCUUUUUAUGCUUUCUUCUUGUGUGUUUGAUAAACCUUAAGAAAAACAAAAAAAAAUUAGUUGUAGCUUUUAGCUAGUUUACUUUCUUGCUUGUAGUAGUAAUUAAAAGGAAACCCAAAAAGAUUUCUUGUUCUUCUUUUGCUUGUUGGGAGCUUUCCUGUGUAAAUAUUUUUACUUCUUUUCUUUUCUUUGGGGGUCGAUAGGAGAAGAGCAUGAUUAAAAUGUUGAGUUGCUCUCAUAUGCAUUAUUGUUGAUCUAACCAAGAGCCCAUAUUACCUUGUCUUCUCUCUUGAAUUGAAUGCUUGUAGAUGCCAGCUUAGUCCAAUGCACGUGCACUAUUAUUAUUUUCCACACUAUUCAGUCGUGCAAGUGAAAGGCAAUAAUGAUGAUUAUAUGAUGAAAUGAUUGAGAUGAGAGAAGCUGGUAUGACCUCGACCUCUCUUGUUUUUGUAAAUAUGAUUAGUUCAUCGUUCCUGAUUUAGCUUAUUAUGAAUAAACAUGUUUGCAAUGACAAUUAGAGAUUGUGGUUGCUUAUGCCAUGCUUAAUUAGCUAGGAGCUUAUAAUGGUUUACCUUGCGUGCCAACAUGCUAUUAAAAUGGUUGUGAUGUGGUAUGAUAGGGUGGUAUCCUCUUUUGAACAAUUCAAGUGGCUUGACUUGGCACAUGUUCACGCAUGUAGUUGAAACAAAAUCAACAUAGCCUCUAUGAUAUUUAUGUUCAUGGUGCAUUAUAUCCUACUCAUGCUUGCAUUCGAUGUUGAUUAAUUUUAAUGCAUGUUCAUGACUGUUGUCACUCUCUAGCUGGUCGCUUCCCAGUCUUUUUCUAGCCUUCACUUAUACUAAGCGGGAAUACUGCUUGUGCAUCCAAUUCCAUAAACCCCAAAGUUAUUCCAUAUGAGUCCACCAUACCUGCCUAUACACGGUAUCUACCUACCGUUCCAAGUAAAUUUGUAUGUGCCAAACUCUAAACCUUCAAAUAAACAUUCUGUUUUGUAUGCUCGAAUAGCUCUUGUAUCAACUAGGGUUGUCUGUAUCUUCCAUGCUAGGCGGGUUAUUCUCAAGAGGAGUGGACUCCGCUCCUCAUUCACGAGAACAUGGCUGGUCACCGGGAUGCGCAGUCCCAUGCUUUAUGCAAAUCAAAUCUAAAUGACUGCAAGCAAAACUCCCCCGGGAUUCUUGUUAGUUGGAGUCACUCGUUGUUUCGAGCAAGCCAUGGAUUGAUGCUUGUUGGUGGAGGGGGAGUAUAAACUUUACCAUUCUGUUUGGGAACCGCCUAUAAUGUGUGUAGCAUGGAAGAUAUCGAGAUCUCUGAGUUGUUAUGUUGACAAUGAAAGUAUACCGCUCAAAAUAUUAUUCACAUCUAUUUCAAAACCGAGCUCUGGCACCUCUACAAGUCCCCGCUUCCCUCUGCGAAGGGCCUAUCCAUUUACUUUUUUGUUGAGUCAUCCUCCUCUUAUUAAAAAUCACCAGUUGGAGAGCACCGCUGUCAUUUGCAUUCAUUAUUGUUAGUUUACAUUGAGUAUGACUUGACUGGAUCUCUUUUACCAUGAAUUACAAUGUCUAGUUUGUCCUUGAUCUUUAAAGGUGCUCUGCAUUUAUGUUUUGCGGUCUCAGAAAGGGCUAGCGAGAUACCAUCUUGUUAUAUCAUAUCAUGAUUGUUUAUGAAAGUGUUGUCAUCCGAGAUAAAUUAUUAUUGCUCGCUAAUUGAUUAUGUCAUUGAUAUGAGUAAACAUGAGACCGAAGUGUUAUUGUGAAUAUGAUUAGUUCAUAAUCUUUGCUGAAAACUUGAAUGCUGGCUUUACAUAUUUACAACAACAAGAGCAAACAGAGUUUGUAAAAGUUUUUCUUUAUCACUACCAGUUUAUCAACUGAAUUGCUUGAGGACAAGCAAAGGUUUAAGCUUGGGGGAGUUGAUACGUCUCCGUCGUAUCUACUUUUCCAAACACUUUUGCCCUUGUUUUGGACUCUAACUUGCAUGAUUUGAAUGGAACUAACCCGGACCGACGCUGUUUUUAGCAGAAUUGCCAUGGUGUUAUUUUUGUGCAGAAAUAAAAGUUCUCGGAAUGACCUGAAAAUCAAUGGAGAACUAUUUUGGAAUAUAUAAAAAAUACUGGAAGAAGAAUCCACGUCAGGGGGGCCUCCACCUGUCCACGAGGGUGGGGGGCGCGCCCCCCUGCCUCGUGGGCCCCCUAAUGCUCCACCGACCUCAACCUUGACGACAUAUAUCCACUUUCGGUGAGAAAAAAUCAGAGAGAAGGAUUCAUCGUGUUUUACGAUACGGAGCCGCCGCCAAGCCCUAAACUCUCUCAGGAGGGCUGAUCUGGAGUCCGUUCGGGGCUCCGGAGAGGGGAAUCCAUCGCCAUCGUCAUCAUCAACCUUCCUCCAUCACCAAUUUCAUGAUGCUCACCGCCAUGCCUGAGUAAUUCCAUCGUAGGAUUGCUGGAUGGUGAUGGGUUGGAUGAGAUUUAUCAUGUAAUUGAGUUAGUUUUGUUAGGGUUUGAUCCCUAGUAUCCACUAUGGUCUGAGAUUGAUGUUGCUAUGACUUUGCUAUGCUUAAUGCUUGUCACUAGGGCCCGAGUGCCAUGAUUUCAGAUCUGAACCUAUUAUGUUUUCAUCAAUAUAUGAGAGUUCUUGAUCCUAUCUUGCAAGUCUAUAGUCACCUAUUAUGUGUUAUGAUCCAUUAACCGCGAAGUGACAAUAAUCAGGAUACUUACCGGUGAUGACUGUAGUUUGAGGAGUUCAUGUAUUCACUCUGUGUUAAUGCUUUGGUCCAGUACUCUAUUAAAAGGAGGCCUUAAUAUCCCUUAGUUUCCAUUAGGACCUCGCUGCCACGGGAGGGUAGGACAAAAGAUGCCAUGCAAGUUUUUUUUCCGUAAGCACGUAUGACUAUAUUCGGAAUACAUGCUACAUUACAUUGAUGAAUUGGAGCUAGUUCUAUGUUACCCUAUGUUAUAACUGUUGCAUGAAUAAUCGCAUCCGGCAUAAUUCGCCAUCACCGAUCCAUUGCCUACGAGCUUUUCCAUAUAUUGUUCUUUGCUUAUUUACUUUUCCGCUGCUACUGUUACAAUCACUAUAAAAAAAACCAAAAAUAUUACUUUUGGUACCGUUACUUUUGCUAUCGUUACCACUACUAUCAUAUUACUUUGCUACUAAAUACCUUGAUGCAGAUAUUAAGUUUCCAGGUGUGGUUGAAUUGACAACUCAGCUGCUAAUACUUGAGAAUAUUCUUUGGCUCCCCUUGUGUCGAAUCAAUAAAUUUGGGUUGAAUACUCUACCCUCGAAAACUGUUGCGAUCCCCUAUACUUGUGGGUUAUCAAGAAUAUUUUCUGGCGCCGUUGCCGGGGAGCAUAGCUCUAUUCUUUGAGUCACUUGGGAUUUCUAUCUGUUUAUUACUAUGAAGAACUUGAAAGAUUAAAGAACCAAGAUUUUUCCCUCAACUAUGAGGGGAGGUAAGGAACUGCCAUCUAGCUCUGCACUUGAUUCACCUUCUGUUUUGAGUAAACUUGCGACACCUAAACCUGCUUCUGCUAUUAAUUCUGAUAUGUCUCAUGUUAUUGAUGAUGCCACUUCUGCUAUGCCUGAUACUUAUGAUGAAACUACUUCUAUGCUUGAUACCACUGUGCCACUUGGUGAAUUUCUUGAUGAACAACUUGCUAGGGCUAGAGAGAAUGAAAUUAUUGAAACUGGUAAUAUUGAUGAAAGUGAUGAUGAAGAUUCUCCCCCUAGAUAUGAAUUACCUGUUGUUCCUGAGGGUUAUGUUAUGCAUGAAGAAACUGCUAGAGACUUUCUUGCUUGCAAUGAUAUGAGUGAUCUUAAGAAACUAUUAGCUAAGCUGAAACAAAAAUCUCUGAAUGCUAAAAUGAAAUAUGAUCCUGCUUAUGCUACUUCACCUAUCUUUGUUACUGAUAAGGAUUAUGAAUUCUCUGUCGACACUGAUAUAAUUACUUUGGUUUAAUCUGAUCCUUUCUAUGGCUAUGAAUUUGAAAUUGUUGUGGCACAUCUUACUAAAUUAAAUGAUAUAGCCACCCUGUUCACUAAUGAUGAGAAAACUCGCUACUACUAUAUCCUUAAAAUAUUUCCGUUCUCAGGGUGAUGCUAAGAUAUGGUUUAAUUCUCUUGAUCCUGGUUGUGUGCGUAGUCCCCAGGAUAUGAUUUAUUACUUCUCUGCUAAAUAUUUCCCUGCUCAUAAGAAACAAGCUGCUUUAAGGGAAAUAUAUAAUUUUGUGCAAAUUGAAGAAGAGAGUCUCCCACAAGCUUGGGGGAGGCUUCUAUUACACAUGCUAAAUAUUUCCCUGCUCACAAGAAACAAGCUGCUAAAUAUUGCCUACGAGCUUUUCCAUAUAUUGUUCUUCGCUUAUUUACUUUUCCGCUGCUACUGUUACAAUCACUAUAAAACCCAAAAAUAUUACUUUUGUUACCAUUACUUUUUGCUAUCGUUACCACUACUAUCAUAUUACUUUGCUACUAAAUACCUUGCUGCAGAUAUUAAGUUUCCAGGUGUGGUUGAAUUGACAACUCAGCUGCUAAUACUUGAGAAUAUUCUUUGGCUCCCCUUGUGUCGAACAAAUAGAUUUGGGUUGAAUACUCUACCCUUGAAAAUUGUUGUGAUCCCCUAUACUUGUGGGUUAUCAUAGUCCAAGAAGAGAUAUGCUGACAUUAAUUACCAAAAUCACGCAUGGAGCACUUGUGCUUUCAACGUGUUUGCCCACUAUCACAAAUGGUCAAGAUAUCACCAUCUUGUCCGAUGGAUGCGCCGUGGCGCCUCCCACGGGGUGCCAGAAGGUUGACCAGAAUUGCAAUAUGCAGGUGUUGUAGCUCGCCGUUGAGGUAGCCGUGGCGCGCUCUGCUUGUCAUUGAGGCGGCUGUGGCGCGGUCUGCUCGCGUCCGUCCGCGCAUUUUUCUCGCCAUUGAGGCGGCCGCGGCGCGCUCCGUUCUGCUCGCCAUUGAGGCAAAUUUAAAAUGGCAACAAUUAAUAAUUGUCUUACCUAUUCAGGAUAAUUUAAAAUGCCACGUGCGGCAAUGCCCAAAACACUCAUGACCUACAGAUGCAUACAAUUAUAACAAAAUAUAGUCUAAAAGGCUGAGCUGGUGGCCUUCCGACGAUGGUCUUCUCGGACUCCAUGAUCAGCAUAGCACCCUUGCGGUCGUUCAUUCCAAGUGUCCCGACCUGCCUCCGCCUACGGAGCUGCUGGCGCUAGGAGCCUUUUGGGGUUGUUGGGCCUCUUCCAGAAGAGCUUGACAGCAUGCAAUCACGUGCAUGAAAACUUCGCGGAACCACUCCAUUUCCAUGUCUCUGGCCUGGUAGCAAAUUCCGUCCAUCAACUGCAUCCUCAAGAUACCACGUUCGUGACGUUCUACUUUGUCGGGCAUGUCAACUCCGCCAAAGCCGCGCUUGAGCCUGGCCACCACAUCGUCGGGAUCAAGGUCCACAGCCGCCGCCGGCAAUGAUGAAGUUGCAGGCUGGCCAUUUCUUAACUAAACCGAGAGGUCCUCUGCCCAUUCCUUGUGGGGCAUCAGGCUCUCGAUGAGCAGCGGUGAUGGCGGCUCUUCGGGUGGGUCGUCGACCAUGCGACCGAGAAGCUCUGGAUCUUUUGCACGCUGGAUGGCAAACUGCUCAUCACACUUCCUCUCCAAUAUGUCAAUUGUGUGCCCAAGGACUGUCACGCCUAUAUCGCUGACGAUGGGCCAUGGUGCCUGCACCGGCCGAUGAAGCUCUUGCUCCCCGACCUGCUCUGGCUCGUUCUCCUUGUCGAUGAUGUAACGCAUGUAGGGGUCGACGUCGAAACUUUGGUCGUUGCCUGGCAUGCUUGGAAUAACUAAUGGUAGAUGGGUGAGGACUAGAUCUGCGCAUAGUGUCACGAUGAUGCGUUGCCGCCUGGGUCAUAUGCAGCAAGCCAUUAGCUGUUGGAGGGAAACCGAUGAGGGGACAGGUGGGGAUUUUACUAUUCACCCAUGUGGAGUGCGCGAAGCCUUCGCUGGAGCGCGGAAGCCUUCCCUGGAGCGCGGGAAGACUAAGUGGAGCACACAACCCAACAAUUUAUGCAGUGCCACGUGUUGUGUUUCACACACGUAUUAACAUAAGGAAACAUAUGUGUAACUUACUAAUCAUCACACACGAAUACUCCCAGACGCAUCGUGUGUGAUACUCCUAGCCACCGCAAGCAACUAGUUUGCAUUUUUCAAAGUUUUUUGUACACACAGAAUCACACAUGAAUUAACUAUAAUAAUCAUAUAUUAUAUUUUCUCAUCGUAAAUAGUUCAUCCGAGUGGGUUGUUUGCCGCGUAUCACACACAUCUUGUUUACACAAAUCGUUUGUGAUCUUUUGGCUCAUUGCAAACAGUUCAUCUAUGUGAACUAUAUGUCGCAUAUCACACACAUCUUAUUAAGUUGAACCGUUUUUGUUGUGUUCCCUAAUCAAAAACAGUUUGUCUGAGUGAACCGUAUACCGUAUAUCACACACACCUUGAUCUGGCUAACCAUUUCUAUUGCAUUCCCUAAUAGCAAACCGUUCAUCCGAGCGAACUGUAUGUCGUAUAUCCCACACACCUUUAUAUAGCCGCCCGUUUCUGUUGUUCUGCCACAUCACAAACAGUUCUUAUGGAUUAACCGUUUAUCACGCAUCGCACACACAACUGUAAUCUAAACCGUGUUUGAUGUAUCUGUCAUCGCAAACGUUUUGCAUCUCUUCUGACGGGGUUUUUACAUCACCGUUUGUGAUUAAUGCAUCGCACAUAGUUUCGUCAAAGGGUCUCUGAUCGUAGUGUCGCAUUAGCAGCAUCAUGCAGUAGCGCAUGUCUGCCACAACUUUCGAAGCUGACUUAGUUGGCCCACUAGGAUGAAGCAUGUGCAUGGUGUUGUCCAUUUAGUGAACAAAAUUGUUCUAAAAAAUAGUGAAAAAAUAAUUUAAUGGUCAAAAACAAAAGUUAACAAAUUAUUCUCACAACUGUAGCCGUUGGAUUGACUUCCAAGGGACAUCCUGCUUCUUCAAUAUCUGAUCUAGUUGCUCUUCCUCCAGCCGCCAAAACCAUCACCAGCAGGGGCGCCUGCAUCUGCCUCCCGUGACCGGCUAUGCUGCCGCACAGGCCUGGCCGCCCCACCCUACACCCAACAGUGGCCAUGUCAUACCUAUACUCACACAUACCUUUUAUUAUUCUCCGGUGAUGGUAGCCACACCCCGCAGCCGAACAAGUGAACCGCGUACUCCCCUCUGUGAGGGACUCCAGUGCCCCUUCUUCAAUGACUCCAAAUCAUUCCCAUCCUAGGCCUCGCCGUCGUCCAUCUCUGUGGUGCGCUCGACGACGAGUGGUCAACAACGAGAGCCAAUGUGGAGUAUGUGGAGAGGCUGACAGCUGGGAACCACCAGCUACAUCUUUGCAGGCAAGCUAGUGCCUCCUUAUUACACGGGAAUAAACCAUUCCUCCCCUUGAUAGGUUGGACCCACCAGCUACAACCUCUGCACACAAGGAAGUUCCUUCUUAUUACACGAGAAAAAGGUUUUCUCCCCAUCACAGCUGGGACCCACCAGCUACAUCUUGGCACGGAAGGAAGUGCCUCCUUAUUACACAUAAGAAAAAUGAUUCCUCCCCCUCCUAGCUGGGACUCACCAGACUCAAAGGCUGACUUGUGGGCCUACUAAAUUGACACGUACGCAGGGCUUUGUUAACUUAGUAAACAAAUGAUUCUAGCAGCAGUGACCGUUGGAUGUUAAUCCAACAACCGCGUUGCUUCUUCAAUCUCUGGUCCUCUAGCUCCAGCCGCCCAAACCAGCGCCGGUGGGACUGCCUGCUCCUGCCUCCCAUGGCCGGCUGAGCUGCCACUACUGGCCAUGCCAUCCCACUACUCACCUACACCUCUUGUUAUUCUCCGGCGACGCCAGCCUCACACCACAGCGGAACUGGUAAACCCUUGUACUCCCCUCUGCCUGCGCAACCACUAUUAUGUCUUCCCCGGCUCCUAGUGGUUCCCUUCCUAGGCCUCGUCAUCCUCCACCGCCAUGCUGCUCUCGGUAUGGCGUCCUCAGGGCAGUUAAUGAACAACAGCCAUCGGAAGAUUAUUGUACAUGAAUAGACUGAUAACUGGGCCCCACCGUCUACAUCUUCGCAUGCAAGGAAGUGCGUCCUUAUUUUGGGCAAAAUGACCCCCUGACAGCUGGGGCCCACUAGCUAAUACGUCUCCAACGUAUCUAUAAUUUUUUAUUGUUCCAUGUUAUUAUAUUAUCAAUCUUGGAUGUUUUAUAUACAUUUACAAGUAAAUUUAUAUAAAUUUUUGGGACUAACCUAUUAACUUAGUGCCCAGUGCGAGUUGCAGUUUUUUCCUUGUUUUUUACUUUGCUGAAUAUCAGUACCAAACGAAGUCCAAAUGCCAUGAAACUUUUUUGAGAUUUUUUUCUAGAAAUACGAGAGACUGGAAGCUUCUGGAGUCCACGAGAAGAAGAAAGGGGGGCCCACUAAGAACCAGGGCACGCUAGGGGCCUCUGGCACGCCGUGGUGGGUCGUGGGGCCCACGAGCAUCAUUUUGACCUACCUCCGCCUCUAUAAAUACUCUAAAAUCCCAAAACCCUCAAGGAAUUCCAUGAAAUACUUUUUCUGCCGCCGCAAGUUCCAGAACAACAAGAUCCAAUCUAGAGGCCUUUUCGGGCACUCUACCGGAGGGGGAAACGAUCACGGAUGGGUUCUUUAUCAUCCUUUCUACCCCUCCGAUGAUGGGUUAGUAGUUUACCACGGACCUAUGGGUCCAUAGUUAGUAGCUAGUUGGAUUCUUCUCUCUUUUUUAUCUUCAAUACAAUGUGCUCCUCGGUGUUCUUGGAGAUCUAUUUGAUGUUAUGACUUUUUACGGUGUGUGUUUGUUGUGAUUUGAUGAAUUGUGAGUUUACUAUCAGAUUUAUCCUUUAAUAUUAUUUGAGUUUUCUCUGAACUCUUUGAUGCAAGAUUAUUAUAGCCUCAUAUUUCUUCUCCGAUUUAUUGGUUUGGUUUGGCCAACUAGAUUGAUUUAUCUUUCCAUGAGAAGAGGUGCUUUGUGAUGGGUUCGAUCUUGCGGUGCUCAAUCUCACACUACAAAAAAUACACUUCCGUGAUGAUACGUGUUUGUCACAGUAGGUCACGUUUUCUGUCAUGCAUGUACAUCCAUGACGAUUUUAUGACAGCAUCAAGAUAGUCAUACCUAUGCUGUCAUAGAAGUGUUCCAUGACAUUACCAAAAUUAUCAUCACGGAAGUGUCCACUUCCAUGACGAUAAAUCGCGCGUCAUAGAAGUGCUUUCAUCAAGGGUGACUGACACGUGGCAUCCACCAUCACGGAUCAUCGUUAAGUUAUCGGGUUCCAGUUUGGAUCCGAUAACCCGUUAACAGCCUGGACCAAUGGGGAUUUUCCAUGUGUAAAAUGACCAUUGGCUGGAGGAAACACGUGUUGGCUCAUCAUUGGGACAGAUGUCAUCCACUCAUUGGACAGAAUGCGCCAAUGAUACGUCGCCAUGUGGCACGGCCCAACAGAGGUCCAUUCUCGUGAAAAGGCCAGCCCAUUUGACAUGGUCAAAAGAUAGCGGGCCGGCGCACGGAAAGCCUGUUAACGGCCUGUUCGCACAUAGCCCAUUUACAGCCCGCUAACCCAGGGCCCAUUAUGGCCUAUCAGAAUUAGGCCCAGUAGCGUCAUCUGGGCCGUCCAAUAUGAUUCUAGCCCGUUGUAACUUCCGGCCCAUGUCUGGCCCAUGGCGUCUUUCGGCCCAUAUGAGGCACUUUGUAACUCUUGGCCCAUUAACGGCCCAUGGUGAAAUUGGCCCGUAAUGAACAGUACAUCGCUUUAUACCCAUUAACGGCCCAUUAUUCGAAUGGGCCCUUUCAAGCCCAUGUUAUCUUUCAGCCUUCUCAGGGCCCAUUUAUUCUUGGGCUCAUUUCUAGCAUUCGGUUACUUACGGCCUGUUACUGGCCUUUUCUGAUUGUGGGCCAAAUUUAGCCCGUGGUUACAGUCGGCCCGUUUGUGGCCCUUUAAUCCAUUAGGCCGUUUUCAUAGCGUCAUCAAAUACGGCUGAUUAAUGACGGCCCGUUAUUGUUGGCCCAUGAAUGGAUGAUUCCAACUCUAGCAUGUUUAAGGCCCAUAAUGUGGUUCGUUGUUGGCCCAUGUUUGGCCGAUCGAUCAUACAGCUCAUAGAAGGCCCAUUGAUGCUAUGACCCGUACAAGGCCCAUUGUUUCUACGGCCCGUAGCAGGCACAUGGUAACUAAGUAAAUAUGUAGCCCAUGGUUAUUGUGGCCUAGUUUUAAAAAAUAGGUUAUUGCAGGCACUAGCAAACCACGGUAAAAGAACUGCACUGACUACAAGCAAACAAGUAAACAAGACAACAAGGAAAUAAAUAAGCAAGCAACUUAUGCUAGGCUAUCACGGCUAUUACACAUAUUACAUCCACUGGGCAUCAAAGUUCGCCACCAGUGCAAAUAUAGGGAACAAAGCAGCACAUCAUAUACACUGGUUGCCAAAGUUGGCGACCAGUGCAAAUAAACGUCGUAGCAAAACAAGUCCAGAACUGAAACCACUUCAGAAAAGCUCAAGAAACAAUAUCCUAGGUACCCAUAAUGCUGGCAAGAUGCUUAGCAAGAUUAUUAACUUUCUCUUGUUUGGCGCUUAAAUCCUCCAGCACUUGCUGUUGCACAAGAAAGUAUGGAUCUGAAUUCUGCAGGGACUUCCUCAGUCCUUCAGCUUCUUGCCGCAGCACAGCUGACUGACGCCUUUCAGCUUGUAGCUAAGACUGAAGAAGCCAAAGUGAUUCGGGCGGCGAGUUCGAAGAGCUUGUGCCAGCGGUACUGGCCAGUAACUUGAACACUACAUCAACGCAGGACUGUGGGGUUUUCUCACUGUCUACAAGAUCGUUUUAUCACCUUUCUUGGGGACCAACAUGGCUAUCUCACCAUCUUGAACCUUAUAUGCAUUACUUUCUCUACCAUUGCAUAGUGGGGUGCUCUUCUCCAAUUUUCUGUUUGCAUACUACGAGAGAAAUAAGCAGACACAUCACAGGUUUAGCAUGUAGUAUACGAAACUCAUUUUGUUAAACCAGUUCAGUAGUAAGGUGGACAGGAUAACAACAUGAAACAAACAUAUAUCUAUGUACUAUGGUCACUAUAUUGUCCAUAACAUUCUAGUUUAUGUUGCCAAAUCAAGAUAGAGACACAGUUCAACUCAUAUAUUUUUAAGACACAGCAGCAUAGAUAAGUGUGAGAAACUACAUAGCAUUGGCAACACUUGUAAUGUGCAUCACAUGAGAACAUAAUUGUUUAUACAACUGAAACUGAAAUCAACAUAGAGCAAGAAGUUAGAACAACAAUCCAGUUAAAGAAAUAGGUUUAAAACAUACAUGUUGCGCCAUUGGAGUUUCAACUGGAUCCUUCAAAUUCGAAAGUCGUUGGUAUGAGUAAAUACAGUGAUGCAACAACAAAGGAGUAUGGACCAUAGCUACGGAAUCUGACCUGAGAAUAGUUCCUCUUCUACUUUAAAAAUGGAUUUUGGGUUUGUUGUGGUGGUCUUCGUGCUUUGGGCACUGCAGUUGCUUUACAAACUGCUCAUGUGGGGGUAUUCUGUGGUGGACAUGGUGCUUUGUCAACUAGAAGUGGGUUACUAUCCGCUGGGGUUGGGGUUAGAUGGGUUGUAGCUAGUUCUCUGCCCAACGGUGUAAGUGUGCAAUCUGGAAGAGUCUCGAUUAUGUGUGGUGGGGCUAGUUUGUGGGCCAGUACAACCAUGGUUCUAUCUGCAUCGACGGGUAGCACUGUCUUUUGUGAAGAACGGGUUUUUGCUCCCUUAGAUACUGCCAUCACCCACUCCAAUUCAAAUGGCUGAUAAACAAGAAAAUAAAUUGAAUGUACAGACAUUGCAUGAUAGACAGAUGUGGUAUUUCACAUAUAUGAUGCCUAACUAAACAAGAUAGCAUGACACGGUUUUAGAUAUAUGAUGGAUAACUUAACAGGAUAUAAUGGCAUAAUUCAACAUAUGAUGAGUAUCUAAACAGGAUGACAUGAAAAAACUAUAUGAUGUCUUUCUAAAAUAGGUUGGGAUGAAAUAAUUCACAUACAUGUUGUCUAAGUAUACAGGAUGGCAUGAUAUAAUUGAUAUAAUUGAUUCAUAUACUAAGCAGCUGGCACUCACAUGUCUCUAAACUAAGCAGAUGGAAUUCAAUAUUGUGCAUGUGAUGUCUAAACUAAGCAAUGCAAGACACCAUAUGCAUGAUACGAGAAAUAUAAACAUUGCAACUUAGAGCAUACACCUCAGGUGGGAUAUAGGACUGGUCAUCUGUCUCUGAAUCCUCCUCUGAGGAGCUCCCUGUAACCAUCGAGAUAUAUGCUUCAACAGGUACCAUUGCCUACUCUGAAGACCUUGUUUUCACUCCUGAUUUUUCCAUAACCGGCUCAAAUGGCUGAUACACAUGAAGAGUGGUUCAAUAUACAUAGAUUGUCGAUAAAUGGAAUACGUAAUGAAAAAAGAUGGCAUGAGAUAAUUCACAUAUAUGAUGCCUGGCUACAUGGCGGUGCAUAAUUCACAGAUAUGAUAACUGGCCGAAAAACAUGGCAUUGCAUAAUUCACAUAUCUGAUAUAGAAAGCAAACAAGAGGCAUUCACACAAAGCAUGUCUAAUCUAAGAAGAUGGCACGACAAUGCAAGACACCAUAUGCAUGAUAUGAGCAAUAUAACCCUGCCAAGUUAGAGCAUGCACCUCAAGGGGGAAUAGGACAUGCCAUCUGUCUUUGAAUCCUCCUCUGAGGAGCUAUCUGUAACCAGCAAGAAAUCUCAAUCGAUAGGUAGCACUAACUGCUUAGAAAACCUUGUUUUCACUCCAAAUUUUCCAAUGACUGACUCAAAUGGUUGAUGCAUAGGAAGAGUAGAUGAAUGUAUAAACAUUGUUGACGAAUGGAGUACAUUAUGAAAAAAAAUAUGGGACGAUACAAUUCACAUAUACAAUGACUGGAUGGCAUUGCAUGAUUCACGUAUAUGAUGCCUCGCUAAAGAAGAUGGCAUUGCAUAAUUCCCAUAUACUCCCUCCGUUCCUAAAUAUUUGUCUUUUUAGAGAUUUCAAAUGGACUACCACAUAUGGAUGUAUAUAGACAUAUUUUAGAGUGUAGAUUCACACAUUUUGCUCCGUAUGUAGUCACUUGUUGAAAUCUCUAAAAUGACAAAUAUUUAGGAACGGCGGGAGUAUGAUACAGAAACCAAACAAACGAAGUUGAUGACAUAUACGAUGUAUAAUGUAAGCAAUGUGAGGCGCCAUAUGCAUGAUAUGACCAACAUCAGCAUGCCAGGUUAGAGCAAACACCUCAGGUGGUAAAUAGGAGUGGUCGGCUCCCUCUGAAUCCCCAUCUGAUUAGUUAUCUUCCUCUGGAAUACAAUCUGGAAUGGCGGGAGGGGAGGGGGCCACUUCGCCCACCAUGGAGCGGCGUCUGCAUGACAUUAUAUUCCCACGCAACGGUCUUAUCUUUUUCUCUACAUGUUCAGUGCGGUUGUGUACAAUAAGUGACAUGCAUACUAAAAAAAUAGUUAGAUUUUGUAAGGCCUAAGGGGUGCAUGCAGAAAUCAAGACUGAUGGUAUCAAAUGAGUGGAUAGAUCCAAAACUAAUGAUAGCAGGUAGAUUAUAGCUUUAGUUCAAAAAGAUAGAAAAUGUAUCAUCUACAGUUUGUUGCCCACCCAACAUGAACCACAUAGAAGACCCCAGAUGAACCAGAUAGUAGACAGAUACUAUUCGUUGCUGCCUCGAUAUGAGACCCACGGGCAUUUUAAAACUCAUGUCUGAACAAUAAAGUAGAAGGUAAUAAUAAUAGAUGCAUAACGUAAGCAAACACGAAAGACUGCGACUUCUCUUCUGGAACUGUGUAGUCCUCAGGUUCAUCUGCUCAGUCGAUGAUGGUAAUGCAGUUGGCGUGGCUACCGGCAAUGGGGAAGUUGAUCUGAGGCGGCGAAAGAAAGUCUGCAGGGGAAUCUCUGCUGCAGUGAACACUUCUAUCGGUGGUGCACCUCAGGUGGGGUGGAUGAUGGCAUGGCAGGAGCAGGACAUAACACACAUAGUUUUCUUUGACGCCUAUCUGAAAAUGAAGUAAGUCUGUAAAGGCUCCUUAGAAUUGGAGGAUUCUAUAAACAUAGGACAGGAAAAACACAGGAAUAGGAUAGGAAUGCAUGUGCAAAACAGAGCAUUUGGAAACAUAGGAUUUCUGUCAACCUGGGUGUUUGGUUGACAUGAAUUGGAAGAACACGGGAAUGGAGAAACAUGGUCAAAUUAAAGUCAAACCACGUGAAAGUGAAAAAAUAAGAAUCUUAUUAUGCCAGUAAUGCAAUUAGUCCUGUUCUUCAUGCAUAUUAAUUUGAAAAUGACGUCCAAGUGGAUAUUAAAAUUCCUAAUUUUUUCUUUGAAAGAGACACCAAAUGAGAAAAUACUCCAGUUUUGCUUUGCUCCACUCCUUCUAACCAAAUGCACGAAUAGUAGUACCAUAGUAGUUCCAUAGCAAAGGAUCCCUCAGGGAUCGACAUGAAUGCAGAGUAACAAAGUGAUGCAACGAGUCUAAAACCUCUUUGGCAUAGCCUUGUCGACCUCAUCAUCAUUGGGUUGGACGUGGAGGAUGGUGAUGUUGGUGUGACUGUCGGAGGAGGGGAAGAAGAUCUGUGGCCUCUAGAAACAGUGCCGAGGGUACUGCUCCACUGUGAUGCAUGGUUCCGUCGUUGGGUGGGGAGGCUGAAGCAGGACAAGACAUACAAUGUUAAGCUGAAGUGGGAGUCUAAUAUCAUCUGCAAUAGAUGAUGUAAAUACAUCACCAAAAAGUGCUAUAUGUAAAACACAUCGGCCGCGCCAGGGCUGCUCCGACAGAUGUUGUAAAUAUUGUUCACUCUGAACUUAAUUGAAGAAGCUGAACUUUACAGUCGAAAUUGAUUGAACCAGUAGCAGAGCAUUGCAAUAGAUGUUUAGGGCGUUCGCACACUAGUAGUAGAGAAGUAGUGAUCUAAACCAGCAGACGCUCGAGCAGGGAACGCACUAGCAGAGAGCAAGUCAUGCGGCAGCAUCGCGAGCGAGUGCUAAAGCAGCAACUCCUGUUGCUGCUGGAGGUCGUGCCGCAACACCAGCAGCGUGAGCGAGAGCAAAAGCAGAGCAGUGGCAUGAAUGAGAGCAAGAGCGGAGCACCAGCGCGACCGACAGCAAUAGUAGAGCAGAGCAGCAGCACGAACGAAAGCAAGAGCAGUGCAGCAGCGUGACCGACAGCAUGAACAGAGUCGCAGCAUGAGCGAGAGCCAAAGGAACAGCAGCAGCGCGAGCGAGAGCCGGAGCGGCUGCAUCUAGUGCCAGUGCGGAAGUCGCCACCAAUGAAGCAACGACAUGGGGGAGAGAUGCCGUGGAUGAAUUGGCUGGCGACGGCGCGGUCGAUGGAGACCCGCCAUGGCAGCUCAGUAUCGACCACCGGGAGCCCCAUGAGACCGAAUAAAAGAUAAAAUGCAGCGUUGAGUGCAUAACCUCCUUGGUGGUGCCGAGUUGGCCUCGGCUUCACCGGAGGAAUUGGUGAGGGUGUUGCGGUUCCAGUGGGGUAGGUCAAGACACCCCUGUGGGGAUGGAGGUGGCACAAUAGAAAAGGCGAACGUCGGGGAAGCUCCUUGGAGGUGGAGGACGGGGCGGCUGAUCCGACGGGACAACGAGAUCGACGACAGAUCCUCAUCCGGUGCGGUAGAUGAGGGACGGCGAGCUGUCGCAGUGGACGACGUCGUCGGCGAAGAGUCUCCGGUUGGGUGGCGGUCGGGAGGCUGAUGGGGGAGCGUGGUGUUCCGCGGGUUUUGGCAGCCUCGGUGUACGAAUGGGGGCGAAGGGGGAGGUAGGGGGAGCCAUGGCUUAGGGACGUGCUUGUCCGAAAUGUAGGGUAAGUUACCAGCAUACACCACCAGUUUUGACACCACGACGUCGAGCCGGCAUUUCUGGCUGAGGGGUACAAGGGGGAUUUCGCGUGUCUGAGCUGCGGGGCCGAUUUCAGAUGAGGAGGGAGUUUUCGCGCGCAUCAAAAUUUUGGGAUAACAAGGCGCGACGCGGGUUGAAGAGGCGGGAGUUUCAAAGCAGAUGAGACAAAAGAUACUCGAGCUUGAAAAUUUCGGGAUAACAAGGCCCCGAUUCCUUGUUCGGCAGAACAUACUUAACGUGUACAAAAAAACAAUUCAUACAAGAACAAGAGAGUCAUGUCCCCUUUUACUAUAUUCCUAUAAAUGCCUUUGAAAAAACUACAAGAAAAAUGUAAAAAAAUCGGGAGAACAAGAUUACCUUGUACAGUACCAAAUCGAUUCGCACUUCCCUCAACAACAACAACAACAAAAAUCAAUUCCCACCAAAAGAAAGAGUCAUGUCCCUUUUUAUAUGAUUACAAAUGCCAGGAUCUCGAAUUUCAAUUUUUGAAUCCACAUUAUGUUGAAUUCAAAUAUAUCGGUAGGUGACCUUGCGGUUUAUAAUGGAUGUAGUCCUACAUAUUGAUCUUCCAUCAUAUAUGAACAUUUUACUCCACCCUACGAACAUAUAUAUUUUCGUCUAUCAUAUGGACUAAAUUUGAAUCAAUUUUCCUUAUUUGAAUACAAUUGUUGUCAAUUUAUACAAUCAUUUAAAUAUUAUCUUCAUAACAAAAAACAUGCAUAUAGUAGUAAUCAUAUUUCACUAUGAACUACAUGUACCAUAUGAUCUCCAAUUCAAAUAUUUGUAUCCAUUUUAUGUUGAAUUCAAAUCAGAGUACAUUGGUCUAGGUAGCGAGAUGUUCGGGAUAACCUAAACCCUGUUUUCAUAUGUAUAAUUUUUGACUGAAUUGGGAUAGGUUUUGGUAUAAGAAUCUUGCAAAACCAGAGAUUCUCUCAACAAGCCUCGUGGUUCCGAGAGGGAACAUGUUACCUUUGUGUGUGAAACGAUAUACACUGCCUCCCCCCUAAUUUUCUUUAUAGAGGCAACAUAGAACUAUAUGAGUGCCCUAAAUUUUGGAAUUAUUCCGGGCUCGUUUAGCCUUUUUUAUACAUUAAUUGAGUUUCUGGACAUUUAAUAUGCAUAAUCCAAAUUUGAACUACAAGCACAUGCUCUUGUGCACCAAAAUUGGUUGAAAAAUCACAUGUGUGUCCUUGGGUGAAUUCUAGGUCCCAUGCAAGAAAUGGGAAUGAAAUUCAAACAUCUGGGCGUCGUGAGGCCGAGAAUAUCAAGAAACCUGGUUUUUUAAUUCAUGUAAAUCCAAAACUCGCCUGGAAAUCAUGAAACUUGGCAUGGUGUCAUGUAAUGGUACUAUAUGUUGUUGUAAAAAAUUGGGCCGAUUUGGAACAAGUUUUGGUAUAAGCUUCUUGCAAACCGAAGCUUCUCCCAAGAAGGCUCGUGGUUCUGAGAGGGAAUGUGUCACCUUUGAGUGCGAAACGAUAUACGCUGCCCCCCUUGAGUUUCUUUACAUAGGAAACAUAGAACUACAUGAGUGCCUUGUUAAAUUUUGGAAUUAUUCCGGGUUCGUUUGGCCUUUUUUAUACAUUAAUUGAGUUUCUAGUCAUUUAAUGUGCAUAAUUCAAAUUUGAACUACAAGCACAUGCUCCCGUCCACCAAAGUUGGUUGAAAAAUCACAUGUGUGUCCUCGGGUGAAUUUCUAGGUCCCAUGCAAGAAAUGGGAAUGAAAUUCAAACAUCUGGGCAUCGUGGCUCGGCUGAGAACAUUGAGAAACUUGGUUUCAAAAAUCUUGUAAAUCCAAAACAUGCCUGAAAAUCAUGAAACUUGGCAUGGUGCCAUGUCAUGGUACUACCAUGCUAUGGUAAAAAAAAUGGCCGAAUAGGAAGAAGUUUUGGUAUAAGCUUCUUGUAAACCGGAGCUUCUCUCAAGAAUCUAGGUCCCAUGCAAGAAAUGGGAAUGAAAUUCAAACAUCUGGGCAUCAUCGCUCGGCUGAGAACAUUGAGAAACUUGGUUUUAUAAAUCUUGUAAAUCCAAAAACAUGCCUGAAAAUCAUGAAACUUGGCAUGGUGCCAUGUCAUGGUACUACCAUGCUGUGGUAAAAAAUGGCCGAAUAGGAAGAAGUUUUGGUAUAAGCUUCUUGCAAACCGGAGCUUCUCUCAAGAAGGCUCGUGGUUCUAAGAGGGAACGUGUCACCUUUGUGUGCAUAAUUCACAUUUAGAAUACAAGCACAUGCCCCAGUUGAAACACCCAUGAUGGGGCUAUAUCUCCCACGUGUCGAGGCACGACUUAGAGGCAUAACCGCAUGGUGGUUUAGUCGCAAGUGGGGUAAUCAAUUCCAUGUACUGAAUAAGAAAGGGAUCAAGAGUUGGCUAACAAUCGCCACUUCACACAAUACAUAAAUAAUUCAUACAUCGUCCAAAUACACUCAAAGACUGACUACGGUCAAAUCCAAAAGAAAAGGAAGAUAAACCCCAAAUGUUAGAUCCCCGAUCGUCCCAACUGGGCUCCACUACUGAUCAUCGGGAAAAGAAACAUAGCAAUGACCAAGAUCUUCAUCGAGCUGCCACUUGAGCUCAGUUGUGUCACCUGCACUGGUAUCAUCAGCACCUGCAACUGUUUGGAAGUAUCCGUGAGCCACAAGGACUAAGCAAUCUCACACCCGCGAGAUCAAGACUAUUUAAGCUUAUAGGUGGGAUGAGGUAAUGAGGUGGAGCUGCAGCAAGCGCUAAGCAAAUAUGGUGGCUAACAUACGCAAAUAAGAGCGAGAAGAGAAGCAACAUAAUGGUCAAGAAGCUAGAAGUGAUCCUAAAACUACUUACGUUCAUACAUAACACAAGACCGUGUUCACUUCCCCGACUCCGCCGAAAAGAGACCAUCACGGCUACACACGCGGUUGAUGCAUUUUAAUUAAGUCAAGUGUCAAGUUCUCUACAACCGGAUAUUAACAAAUUCCCAUCUGCCACAUAACCGCGGGCACAGCUCUUGAAAGUUUAUACCCUGCACGGGUGUCCCAACUUAGCCCAUCACAAGCUCUCACAAUCAAGGAAGGAUAUUCCUUCUCCCGGAACAACCCGAUCAGACUCGGAAUCCUGGUUAAAUCCCGAUAGGAGCUGCACAUAUCUCGUUCUCAGGGCACACCGGAUGAGACAUCCUACGAGUAAAACCAACCCUCAAUUUGCCCCGAGGUGGCCCCAGAGUCUACUAAGUUCGGACCAACACUCAGAGGAGCACUCGCCCGGGGGGGAGGGUUAAAAUAAAGAUGACCCUCGGGCUCGCGAAAACCCAAGGGAAAGUUAUAGGUUGUUAGGCAAAUGUAAAACCAAGGUUGGGCCUUGCUGGAGGAGUUCUAUUCAAGGCGAACUGUCAAGGGGGUCCCAUAACCCCAACCGCGUAAGGAACGCAAAAUCAAGGAACAUAACACCGGUAUGACGGAAACUAGGGCGACAAGAGUGGAACAAAACACCAGGCAAAAGGCCGAGCCUUCCACCCUUUACCAAGUAUAUAGAUGCAUUAAUUAAAUUAGAGAUAUUGUGAUAUCCCAACAUAACCAUGUUCCAACAGGGAACAAACUUUAGCUUCACCUGCAACUAACAACGCUAUAAGAGGGGCUGAGCAAAGCGGUAACUUAGCCAAACAAUGGUUUGCUAGGAAAGGUCGGUUAGAGGCUUGACAUGGCAUAUGGGAGGCAUGAUAAAAAAAAGUGGCAGGUAGCGCGACAUAGCGAUAGAGCGAACAACUAGCAAGCAAAGAUAGAAGUAAUUUCGAGGGUAUGGUCAUCUUGCCUGAGAUCCCGCAAGGAAGAAGAACAGGUCCAUGAAGAAGACAAACGGUCGUAGACGAACGGAUCCUCACAAACGUGACAUUACCAGAACUAACAAGCAGAAGCAACACCGGAAAAGAGAAAACAACAUGGUAAACAACCAAGCAUAAACAUGGCAUGAUGCACAAUCAAGUAUGAUGCAUGUCCGGUUUAAGGAGGCAUGGCAAAGGGCAACAAACAAUACUACAAAUUAAGUGGAGCUCAAUAUGCAACGGAGUUGCAUAUUGAAGAAAACACCACAUUUAUUAUUUAGUUCACUCCCGUUUAGGUACUCAACAAUAUUAAAUACUGUUUAACAUGGGAAGAGGUGAGGCAUGAGUAAACUACCUAUUUAGGCAAGUUUAAAUGAGGCCGAAAAUACAAACAACAAUUCCAAAAAAACCUUAUGUGCAUAUUUUAGAUUUGGUACUGUUCGGCCUUAAACCAUAUUUUAGAGUUAUAAAACAUGCAAAGUAAUGCCACCAUGUUAAACUAUGCAUUUUCUACCCCAUUUACAUAUAAAGUUUAUUAAAUUCGAAGCUACUGUUAUUAAGUUAUGAAAUAAAUCAUUUUUACAUGGCAUAUGAGCAAAAUUAAACAAACAUCAUUUUACACAUUUUUAACAUAGAUGAAAGUGGCAUAUUAUGAAACUAGACGAAAAUAUAAGCAUUUUUCAUAUAUAAAGUAUUUUAAUCCGAUGCACGGUCAUUGAGUUAUUAGCAUUUUGAAACGAUGGCAUUUACUAAAAUUAUGCAUGCCAUGAAAAGAGCUAAAUUCGUCUCACACUAAAAAUAAAAGGCCGAGCAAAAAAAUAUGUGGAGCUGGGAGUUGAACACAGGACCUCCUGGAUGAUGCACGCAUGAGUGACCAAUGGGCUACGAUGGAAGUUUGAUAAACAAGCCUUUACACGCAAGAUGAACCAUACCCUGGUGUAGGUAUGACGAAACUGAAAACUGAAACAGCGAUAGCUUGCUCUGUAGGCGCGGCUUCUCGAUCGAUGCGAGGUCAACGUGAACAUAGAAGCCAGCGAGGCAUUCGCACGCAGGGUCGAAGGGGACGCGGCCAUGGCGGCUCUCGAGCGGCUUCGGUCUGAGGCAACAUAGAGAGAGAUGGCGAGAUGAGAGAAGAACAUAGAGGAAUGGGAGUGACGCGUGCGGCAACUGCGUGCCUCACCUUGUCCGUGACGGCGCUGCUGCUUGCAGAUGGUCGGUGGAGGCAAGCGUGCACGAGCACGGGAAGGCUGGAGACGUGGAUCCGGCAGCGGCGAGCUUGCCGGCGUCGGGGACAAGGGCAGGCAGUGGUGCUCGGGCGACGAGACGCGGGGCAUGGCGCUCGUCUUCGAUACAGAGGAAGCAGGGGCGCUGCGGCACGGCUGGACAGCGGCGAGGCAGCAGCGGAGGGCGGCGUCUGGCGCGGUGCCACGCGCGAAGGAGGGCGUCGGUCGCUGCGUUCGUCAGCAGCAAGGGAGGGAGGCGCGAAGGCGGACGGAUCCGGGCAGCGCUAGACACAGGACGAUGAAGGACGCUGACAAGCUUGCUCCGGGACGAGGCGGCCAUGGCGCUCCUGCAGGUGGCGGCGAUCAGCGAGGCAGCAAAAGCCGGGGGAGGUGAGUGAAAGGAGGGACGCGUCGGCGACCUGCGGUGCUCCAGCAUCGCGCUCGCCGUCACGGCGGAGGAGGAGCCGCGAUGUGGUGCGCGAGGUGAAUACGAGCAGGGGCGAUGGAGCCUUGCAGUAGGGGAAGCAGAAGAAGGCUCGGUGGCGGCAUCAACGGGAAGGAGGUCAGGCGGGGUCACGGACUUGACGGAUCUGGCCGCGGGACACCGGUUCCCGACGGCGGCGAGGUGAACUGGAGCUCGGGGAGGCAUCCAAGGCGUGCUUCUGCUCAUCGCCGGCGGGGACGGCUGGCUCCAUGGAAGUGCUCGAGAAGAAGCAAAGGAGGUCGUGGACUCUGGCUGCUGGUUGAGAUCGGGCUUGCUUGAUCUGGAAGCCGUGGGGAGGAGCUGUGGAUUGGUGGGGAUCGAUGGAUGGAUGGAUCGAUGGGGCUGGUGGUGGCUGAAAACGAUGAAGGGACGAGAAGGUUUGUUGGGUAGGUGGAUCGGGGAAGAUCCCGAGGACGAUGGUGAGAGGGUGGCGGCGGUGAUGGGAUGGAUGGGACAAGGGAGAGGAUUUUUAGGGUUUGCCAAAAUGGACUAGGGGUGCACUAUAAAUACAUCACGGAUUAGGUUCGGAGCUACCUCGACCCUGCGAUCGUAAUUGGAUGGCUAAGAAAAUAUAUAGGUUAGGAAGUCCAAAUAAGAAAACAGAGAUGUUUUUGGAAUGUUUGGGGAUGAUCCGGACCCAACGUUAACGAUAUCCCGGGUCGGGUUCGGGAUAACUCUCGAAUGCGCACGAGGGGUCUGAGCACUGUGCAAAGAGGGUUAGGCGGACGAGGUCAAGUGUGUGGUUUGGUUGAGAAGAGAGAGAAGUAGAGCAGCCUGGCGGCGGUUUUCGGAGACCAAAAAUGUCCGACGUGUGACCGGCUAUAGUGCCGCUAUAUUUAACGGUUGGGCAACCAAACAGACUCCGAAUGCGACGAAACUUGACAGGCGGUCUAUCUACCCUAAAAUAAAACCGCACGCCAACUUUCAUCCCAUUCCAAGAACAUUUUUAUAACACUUAUAAAAUAAUAUUUAGGAGGUUUCUCAGGCGCGUGCAAGUAUGUCUGGGCUCAGAACGGACAACGGACGGAACUGGGUGAGCCCGGACGGAUGCAAGUUUUGAAAACAUGAUAAUGCAAUGCACAUGAUGACAUGACAAGAUGCGACAUGCAAGAAAAUGACAUGGCAACGACAGCGAAUUCUGGAAGACACCUGGUGCGUCGGUCUCGGGGCGUCACAACUCUCCUUCACUACAAGAGGAUCUCAUCUCGAGAACUAGGAUGGCACCGGAGAGAAGCGGAAAAGGAAGAAGAGAGGUAAACUAAGUUGCUUCUUGUAGAAACGAGUGAAACCAAAGAACCUUGAGAGGUUAAACAUUUUUUUAGAAAAGAAUACAACGGAGAUGAACAAAGUUGAAAACACUUCGUUAGAAAAGAGGAACAAGGAACAUUGCGAAAACCUUGUGGGUUGAAAGACAUGAAUGAAGAGCUACAGUGACAAGGAAGGACAUGUAACCUCUCUGGUUGAAACGGAAUAAGCAAGGAAUGAGAAUGAAAGAAUGCAGGCAGCACUCCGGCUGUAAAUGGACGGAAUUGAACAUGAACUUGAUAAGAUGAGAGGAUACUUGAUGCAAUCAACAACACACUGUCUCCGGAACAAAAGAAUAGAAGCUAGAUCGUUAGGGAAGAAAGAAAGUAGAAGAAAAUGAUAACUUCUACCACCAAUGAAUUUGAAGGCAUCCUUAGAAAGAGGGAUUGAAAGGAGUUGUUGAAAAACCAACAACAAAACAAAUAAGCUUGUAGUGGGCUUAUGGAAAACUUCUCAAAAUUGAGGCGAAAUUCUGCCACUAUGGAAAUAAUAGAUUGGAUUGAUAUCAACUAGGAGACAAGAAACUUAUUUCACCGGGAGGAUAAAUAAAGAACUUGGGUCAUUUGUGAGCACCAUAAUUAGCAACAAUCCUUAGGGAAAGCUUUAGGUGAAAUAUAACCCAAGAUAACUCCAACAAAGAGAUUAAUGGAUUUAAAAUACCUCAUUUUUGAAAACUUGUGAAUCAUGAAACACGAAGGAAAAUUAUCAAGAAUGACAUAACACCACCUCAAAAGAUAAGGGAGAAGGAAUUGAACUUUGAAAUGCAAGAUGAAGAAUACUAGAGCUCCUCUGAAAACAAUCUCGAUGAACACUUCGACAAGGAAUUAAAUCCUUGAUGAACCAUCAUGUAGAGCCUCCAUGAAGAACUCCGGUAAUAAAAGGAUGAUAAAAAGAAAGAGAAGUCGAAAACCCAAGGUGAAGCCUUGCAAUGAUUUAGAUGGAUCUUCGUGAUGAUGAGAGCUUGGAACUCUGGGAAAAGUAUGAAGCACUUGAGCCGAGAAUUUACGCAUCGUGAACAAACUCCGGAAGCAUGAAUCAAUCACUUGGAUGAAGCAAGAACAAGAAUUAUGUUAUGUGUAUCCUUCACCAAUUUAAAUUGAUGACAAGCAACGGAUUUGGCAUACUACUUACUCUCGUUGAAAGGAUUAAGAUAGAUAUAGCGCAAACUUGAGAAAGGUCUUCAACGAACCACCGGUAGCAUUUGGAAAGCACGAAUGCAUUGCUACCAUAACGGCGGAAGAAGAAUGUUGGACGAACCACCAUUAGGAUUAAAAGAACGAGCGAAGAAAAUGAACGCAUCACUGGGAGGAAUUGGAAAAUUAACGAAGAUACUUGAGAUAAUCUAGAUACAAGUGAAACGAAGAGAUCAUGAACUGACUAGAGAAUACUUGAAUGAUGCACCGGUAAGAUUUGAAGAAUGUGAGCUGAAAGCUGGAAUGAAUACUGAGAAGACCCAUGAAUUGCUCAGGAAGGGUGAAAAGAAUUCUUACAAUCGAAAACAAUUAUGAGAGGAUGGCAUCAAGCGUGAACUUUGCAUCUUUGGAAGAACGGAUAAGAAUUUAAGAGGAACUCCUCUUUAGUCUUCAAAAUCUGACAAUGACGACAAGAAACACCACCAUGAAUUUGUUGAGGCACUCCGGAAUAAAAUUAGAAAGGUUCAACCAACGAUGAAAAGAAUUUAAAAGAUCGUGGAGAAAGACAUAUGACUGAUAGUAAUUCAUCCUUACGUCAUACUUGAAAGAAUUCGAUAAUAACUCCGAGAAAAAUUAGAAGAGUCAGGUAAGAUCCUGGGAAAAUACCUGUGGGUUAGGGCCCACUCAAAAGGAAACACCGUUGAACGAUCUUAAAAGAGAGAUUGCACCGGUUGAAUUAAAUGGCUUGAAUGAGAUAACAACCUCAAAAUAACUUGAACGGGUUAAGAAUGAAAACACGAUUCUCCUGAGAUAUCUUCAGCACACCGGAACAAAUGAAUAGUGAUAGGUGAAUGAUUAAUUUGUGCAACAACAUGAGAAAACAUUUGAAACGAGGAAAGGAUAUGAUCGACAAGGCUUGAAUUUAGCCCAUUGAAGAAGAAAAAAGAACGAAGAAUUAUAAACUUGUAGAGCAUCUUCAUGAGAACCACCGGGUAAGAACAUUGAUUGAAAAGAAUGAAGAGACUUCACAUGAAUAAAAUGAAUACUUGAUUAAGACAUUUGAUUCCUUGAAGGAAAAGGGUGGGAGGGUGGGAAAACAAAUGCAACUUGGGAUGGAUGAAACAAACACCAUUGAGGAAAACUGAGAUUGGAUCUUGCGAAUGGGAAAAACGAUAGGAUCAUCUUGAAGAGAAUCUCACCGGUUGGAAAGAAUUGACAGGACAAUCUCGAUGAUCAAGAAGGAUUAGUAUUCACAUAGAAAUGUGAGAACACCGCUUGGAAAAAGGUAUGGAAACAACACUUGACAUUGAAGCAACUCUAAUACCACAACUAAAAACAAAAAAAAAGGAUUUGGCUUACAGAAUAAACCGGAAAGAAACAUAUGAUAGACCCUAUAUCGUAUCACAUGUCUGUUUGAAAGAUAUCCUACGAGAUACUUGAAUUCCCUCUUAUUAACUCCCGAAACUUUAUGGUUAUGCAAUCAGGUGUUGGGGAUACGGGGGAAGCAUAAUAUCUCACCCAAACUAACAAUCCCUACAUCCAGCUGUAUCCAUCCUUCAACACAUAACCAAGAAACCUUCGAAAGUUGUGUACCUCAACCUUCGAAAAGCAUCCGUUAUACAAGUUAUGGUGAUACUCCCGAACUCCCGCCCCAGUACUGGGUGGCGUCGAGGUUAUCUCACCAACAACUGCAUAAAAUAGAUUUUCGAAGUCGGCGAACUUAGGUAUACCAGAACUGCCACGAUAAAAUUGUGACGACAACACCUCGGAGCUCAACUCCCCGGGACACUGCCACAACCCCUAAAUGUGAGGAGGCACCAAGAACAAUGUUCUCGUCACAAGACUAUUGGAACAAUUCCAAGAUACCCACGUGAUCCUAAAAAAUUUGUGAAAUUUGAGGAGAGGGAAGUCAAGACUUCUACGCCAGGAGGCCUCACCAGAGUGACGAAGGGACUGAGGAGUAGAAAGAAUCCUACUCUCCGAUAUAUAUAAUCCUAAGACUCAAAACAUUUUGUUCUAGACUCAACAACGUCAGCGAUUCGAUCAAGCAGGGGGCUCCUAAGUCGGGGAUGGCUCUGAUUACCAACUUGUAACACCCAUGAUGCGGCUAUAUCUCCCACGUGUCGAGGCACGACUUAGAGGCAUAACCGCAUGGUGGUUUAGUCGCAAGUGGGGUAAUCUUCACACAAUUCCAUAAUAAGAAAGGGAUAAAGAGUUGGAUUACAAUCGCCACUUCACACAAUACAUAAAUAAUUCAUACAUCAUCCAAAUACACUCAAAGACCGACUACGGUCAAAUCCAAAAGAAAAGGAAGAUAAACCCCAAAUGCUAGAUCCCCGAUCAUCCCAACUGGCCCCACUACUAAUCAUCAGGAAACGAAACAUAGCAACGACCAAGAUCUUCAUCGAGCUCCCACUUGAGCUCGGUUGCGUCACCUGCACUGGUAUCGUGGGCACCUGCAACUGUUUGGAAGUAUCCGUGAGCC
RNAcentral lists this long non-coding RNA (47416 nucleotides) under Triticum aestivum (bread wheat). RNAcentral describes it as "long non-coding RNA (TAES_LNC005440)". Lineage: Eukaryota; Viridiplantae; Streptophyta; Magnoliopsida; Poales; Poaceae. The record is from RNAcentral.